GAGGUGAUGGUGGUGGUGGUGGUGGAGACUUGUACUUAUAAGGAUGCUUUGGUGGUGAUGGUGGUGGAGGUGGUGGGGACUUGUACUUGUAAGGGUGCUUGGGUGGUGAUGGUGGUGGAGGUGGUGGAGACUUGUACUUGUAAGGGUGCUUGGGUGGUGAUGGUGGUGGAGGUGGUGGAGACUUAUACUUGUAAACUGGAGAUGGUGGGGGUGGAGACUUGUACUUGUAAGGGUGCUUGGGUGGUGAUGGUGGUGGUGGUGGGGACUUGUACUUGUAAGGAUGCUUGGGUGGUGAUGGUGGUGGAGGUGGAGGAGACUUGUACUUGUAAGGAUGCUUGGGUGGUGAUGGUGGAGGAGGUGGUGGAGACUUAUAGUUGUAAACAGGAGUUGGUGGGGGAGGAGAUUUGUACUUGUAAGGCUUCUUGUGUGGUGGUGGUGGUGGAGAGUAGACCGGAGGAGGCGGUGGUGGAGACUUGUAAUGGUAAGGUGGUGGUGGGUACUUCUUAGGUGGUGGUGGAGGAGAAGAAUAAGUGUAAUCUGCUGAGGUUUCAAAAGGCAAAUUGAGAGACACUGCUAAAACUAAAAGAGUGAGAAAGAGAGAGGUCAUUGAUGACCCCAUUUUCCCCAUCCUUACUUCUAAAAAUGGGUUUAAUUUGGUUAUGCUCUUAGCAGCCCUCUUCACUCCCUUUAUAUAGACUUUGUUUUAAAGUUACAAUCAUGAUAAAAGUGUGAAGGUGGACCGAACCUUCAGCAGCAUUGAAAAAAGACGUUACGUUUAGGUUAUUAGCAUGGUAUGACAUAAUAAUUCUCUAUUCUCUUCCUUGUCGUUUCCCAUAAAUUUAAUUUAAAUAGUCCAUUUGCUAUAUUUAUAUUUCUGUUUCUCUAUUAAAUAUUUAUCAAAUUCAUUUCUCACUCCUUAUAGAAUAUGAAUAAUUAAUCAUUAAACUCGAUUUAGUAAAUACUUUAAAAAAUGAUUUAUCUUAUUUUUAUGCUUUAAUUAAGGCAUCAAAUCAUUAAUCCCAUUUGAUAUUAUGAAAAUUUAUCACUUAAUUGAUCAAAAUGUGAUUCUUGGCAGGAAAACAUAAUUUACUUUCCUUAAAAUGUAAUUUUUAUUGAGAGUUAUUUUUCCACUAACAAUAGAAAGUGAUUCUCUUUAUAAUUCGUGAAAAAAUUACUUUCACAUGUAAAUAAAAAUUGUUAGGAUAAAAUUAACUUUUCUUUUAUUUAUGUUAAGGUUACUAAUUAACUUAUUCAACUUUAAUAAAAGAUAAACAUAGUUGUAGCUUGUUUGUUGAUGUUAGUUUUUUGUCUUUACAACUUCAAACCAUUAUUCUAGUGUAAUUUUUUUUUCUUUCUAAAUAGUAGAUAAGUAUCUAUAUUUUAUUUUGCUAUAAGAAAAUUAUAUUUUUUAGCAUACAAAACUUAAGAUAACUUGUAGAAUCAAGUAGUUGUAUACCUAUUACUCUAGCAAUAAUAAUAUUGACAUUGUCUACUUUCAAAUUAAAAUUUCAAAUUAGUUCAUUGCCCAAUUUUCUCAUUAAAAAAAAUUAUAUAUAACAUGUCAACUUAACGAAACUUACAUGAAAUUUUGUAUGUGUUAAAAAUGAAAAAUAUGGCGGUUAUUAAAAAAGAUGUCAUACAUCUAAAUCAAACUACUAAUUUAAAAAUUAGUAUUGAGAUAAUUUCAAGCCAUAUAUGCAAUAUUUGAGUAUACUUGAACUUAUACAUACAAAUUAGUGAGGAUUAAAAUUUUGUAAAUUGUACAUCUUCACAAUCUUGCGUUAAUAUACAAUUUUUUUAAUGUAUUAAUAUAAUGUUUUAGAUCAAGACGUGAAAAAACAUAAUUCAAAUAUUUGUUAAUAGUAAAAAAUUAUUAAUAAAUAUUUAAUUCAAAAUUUAUUAAUAAUAAAAAUUAUUGAAAAAUAUUAAAUACGUUAAUAUUAUUUUUAUUUAAUAAUGAUACUUUUGUACAGUAAUCUUAUAUUCCCAAAUAAGUGUUAAAUGUGUCAAGAUUUUAAUCAAUACUUUCCGGUGAUUACCAAACGUUGUGAAGUAACUUCUUAAACAAUAAUAUUCUUAUCAAUCACAUUCCAUUAAAAUUUUAACAUAGAAAAGCACCAAAACGCCCCCUUAAAAUCGUGGUAAGUCUUGUUUGUCUAAAAUUUAAAUAUUUAUUUUAUUAUUUAAAAUAUAUUAAUUUUCUAAAAAAAAUCAUUAAUAUUUAUAUUUCUAAUUUUAAACAUUCUUUUGUUAAUUAAAUGAUAGUCUAAACGGUUAAACUCAAAUCGAAAGCAUUUUAUCUUAUAUUAGAUUAUAUGAAUCAUAUUAUGGUUGAAAGUAAAAUGUAUAAAAUCAAUACAAACAUCAAAUAUUAAACUUCCACUCAAUAGAUUUUAAAAUUUCUAAUUUUAUCACUAAUCUAUUUUAAGAUUUUUUUAAAAAAAAUCGUACUUUAGAUUAUCUAAUUUAAAAUUUUAUAAAAUUAUUAAAAAAUAUUCUUGUAAUAAAAAAAAUUUGUUUUAAAAUUUUUAAUUUUUUAUAUAACCAAUGAAUUUUUUACGUUUGUUUUAACUGGUUAUCUAAACAAAAUAAAAACUUAUUUAGUUUAAAUAAAGUGGUAAAUGUGAAAGCACCACAAAUCACAACUACAUUAGUUUUAUAAUUGGAUUAAUUUAAUCACCGGCAGAGGAAAUGUGUUAGUUCUAGCUACCAACAAUUCAUUUUAAUUCCUUUAAAAAUAUUAGAAAAAACCAAUUUGAUUUUUAAUAAUAGAUCUAAUUACUUAAAGGAACAUGGGUGAUGUGCACAUGGCAUACAAGCAUAAAAAAGAACAAAAAGAUUAAGUAUCUUUGCAAAAUAUCUCUCUCUGAAAUAAAUAAAACUUAAAAAAAAACAAUUUUAUUAUCAAAAUAAAAAGAAAAUAGUGUUUUUCUUCACAAAAAAAGAAAAGAAAAGAAAUACUAGUGUUUUUAAUUAAAAUAGAGUGAUCUGGGUAGAAUCUUUUACUUAAAUACUGACAUUGACUUUAUAAGCUAUUUUUUAUCAAAAGAAGAAAGAGAAAAGCAUCCGAUUGAAGAUGUGAAUUAUUAAGUUAAAAUUAAUCAUACAUGUAAAAUAUUAUUGUGCUUUUUUCUAGCCCUCCGAAAGACAUUAUGCUUUGAUUACAACAUUCUUCCUCAGAGAUGAGGUUUGAAGAUGAACUCGGAUGCAUUUAGAUUUUUACAAGACGAAAGUAAAUUAAAGGAUGUUAGUACUUGUAUUCCGAUACGCUUAUAAUACAGAAAGCAAGUAAUAUGUGACUGUACAUAAUGGCUAUGAGGCGAGGAUAUGAUACGAGAAGAUAGAGAUGAGAGAUUGCACUUAAGGGGUUAGCACCUCUUUUCUUUUUGUGUUUGGUCCCCAAAGCAUAUCUCUUAUUGGCUGAUGUUGCAAGGCGGUCCCAUAAGUUGGGCUAAAAGUGCUUGAUAGCUAGAAUUAAUAUUGUGGUAUAACAUAUGUCACCCCUAUAUUUGAAUAAGGUUACAAAGUGACUACUUGAAGAUUUAAAAAAGCAUGGAGAUAAUUUUGUUGCGAAAAUUAAAAGUAAGAGCUAAAUUGUUUGGCUUUAUUAGAGUAUAGACUCUGUUAGUCUAUUAUCAUUUUGUUAUAUAGGCUGGAAUAUUAUUAGUAAGCAGUUAGCAGCAGUUAGUCAUACAAGUAUAAAUUCUAUUCAUGUAUUGUUCAAAGAUAAGCUAAUAAUACCAGAAGAGAUUUAACAUGUUCAUUCUACUUUUUUUUGUUAUUCUUCAUAAUACAGUUGUUAACAUGGUCUCAGUCGCCAAAUUUCUUGGAGGUUGCUUCUAUUGUAGAUCCAUGGCCAAUUCCACUGAUUCUACCUUCGCUGGUCGUAGCAGUCCCUCAUUCUCAGUUCAUGUUUGGUUCAAUCGUUUCCUCGUCAUGGCACUGUGAAGUUAGAUGAAGGAAAUUUUGUACAAUGGCAACAGCAUAUCCAAUUGAUAAUUGAAGGAUAUGAACUCAUAAGAUUUUUAGAAGGGACGUUACCUGCUCCGCCUCGCUUUGUGUCAUCUCCGGAUGGAAACUUAGCUCUGACUCCCGAUGCAUCCCUGUUUGUUCAGCAAGAUAAGUUACUCGCUUAUUGGUUACUUUUUACGAUUAGUGCUCCUUUGUUUUCUUGUUUUACAACUGCUAAGACGGCGUGUGAGGUUUGGAGCACUGCGAAUUGCCUAUUUGCUGCUGCCACUAGAGCCAAGCUUUCGCGUAUUAAGCAUGAACUCCAGUCCAUCACGAAAGGCGUGAUGACUAUCAAAGAGUAUAUUGCUAAGAUUCAAAAUACUUGUGCGUUACUCGAGGAAUCUAGAUCAGUGGUUUUAAAGGCUGAAAAGGUAGAGAUCAUUCUUGCCGGCCUAUUGUCUGAUUAUGAUGUCGUUUUAACUCUGGCAUCGUUCUCAACUGAAACUUUUUCGUUAUAAAAGAUUGUUGAUAUGCUUCUGGAGUUCGAAAGCCAUCAGACUCAAGCGGUGAACGACGUACCUUUUCAUGCUCAUUUGGUAGAGGCCACUUCGGCGACAUCCGUGGAGGACUCCGUACGUGGUGGUCGUCCUCCUUCUGGUGCUCGUAGGCGCGACUUUCGAUCUCAGCUUCAGUGCCAGGACUAUGGUUGCUAUGGACAUUUGGUACAAUGCUGUUAUUAUCAGUUCAACCGCGACUACAGUGAUCUGUCUGUUUUGACCAUGGCGCGGGUUUCGCCUGUUCAUGCUGAUCACAAUUAGCAUAACGAUGUUUUUGGCGCAAGUGGUCUCUCGACUAGCUGGUUUUCAUCAACUUGUCCUGGUCCGGACCCGUUCGUGCCUGGACAGUAUGUCGAUUCUUUGGUGGUGACACCGGCGUAUUUCUCUUAUGGCUCAUCAUGGUGAGGGUGGCCACAUUUGCAAAACAAUGCCUCCCUUGUGCCAAGUUUGUUGAAUGUUAAGGUUUCUAACCCUUUUGCUCAUAAUUUUGACGAUGGGGCAGGCUAGGUGUUUGGGCUCGCUGUUGGACCAAGCUCAAAUUGUGGCCAAUUUGGUGGUCCUCACUUACCGCGGAGAAUGGGCCAGCACGUUAGGCCAUUUGCUAGUGUUCCUAGGCCGACUGGUUCAGGCCAAGAUUUUGGGCCAUAUGGAAUUCGUAGGCUAACCAGUGCUGGUCCUAACAUUGGACAGGGUUCACUUGGGCCAAAUGUUAAUUUUGUUAGACUUGAGGGCUCUUUUGGGCAUGGACAAGGACUUUGGCCCACCACUGGCAAUGUUUCAGUGCCAAAUAAUGGGUCAUGCGUUCCAUGGCGCACUAAACUGACGGCGCACAUUAUUGAUUGAUUUCUCACUGUGUGUUGGGUUGCCUCACAUUCUUGAUUUUCAUGUGUCUGAUAUUUUUACUACCUCUGGGUCCAAUGCUAACACGACUCCGUAUGGGUCUAAUUUUGAUAAUGAUAACUCUUACAUUCCUAUGCCUGUAGGGACCUUGUCCUGGUGUCUUAAUUCAGGGUCUAUACAUCAUGUCUAUCGAGAAGCCUCUACCUUGAACGAGUCUACGCCAUACUCAGGUACAUCUCCUCUCCUCAUGGAUGAUAUUACUCCUACAAAAAUAUCAUGUGUUGGAAACUCUAUCUUGCCUACGAAGACUAAGCUGUUUCAUCUAUCUAAUGUUUUGUGUGUGCCAAAUAUACGGAAGAAUCUGCUAUCUGUCUCUCAAUUUGCUAAUGACAAUAAUAUGGUCUUUGAAUUUCACCCGUCUUAUUGAGGACAUCCAGACUCAGGAAAUUUUGCUUCGGGGCCACACUCGUGAUGGGCUCUAUUAUUUUUCGUAGGUUACUCAUGUUCCGUCUGUCGUUGUUCCUUCUGUUCACAACACUGGGCUCCAGAGUCGCAAUGCCGGUGAUGAUGUUUUUACGUUAUGGCACUACAGACUUGGUCAUCCGUCUGCCUCGAUUGUUAAACUUGUUCUCGAUAAGUGUCAAGUUGUUUCAACUAAAAUGUACCUUGAAAAUAUUUGUAUUGCUUGUCAAAAGGGGAAGUCCCAUAAACUGUCUUUUUCAAGUUCUACUACUAAAUAUACGGAUUUGUUUGAAUUGGUUGUCUUUGACUUAUGUGGACUGGCAUCUGUUGUCUGUAGAAAUAAUCUGUAUCAUGUUUCGUUUAUCGACAUGUGUAGUUAUUUUACUUGGAUUUAUCUCAUUAAACGUAAUUCUAAGGAGGUUGAAUGUUUUCUUCAGUUUCAGAAAAUGGUCAAAACUCAGUUUGGGAAAGAUAUUAAAAAAAUUCAAAGUGAUUGGGGUGGUGAGUUUCUUGCCUUUACGUCAGUUCUGGCUAGUCAUGGGAUACUUCAUCACCUCUCCUGUCCAUAUACAUCCGAGUAGAACGAUGUAGCUGAACGAAAACAUCGACACAUUGUUGAGAUGAGUCUUAUUCUAUUGGCCAAAGCUAACCUAUCCAUGGAUUUCUGUGGUUUCGUAUUUUACAAUGCCAUUCAUCUCAUUAGUCUUCUACCGACCCUAGUUCUGAAAGGUCAGUCUCCAUAUCAGGUUCUUCAUGGUAGUGACCCUACAUAUGAUCAUUUACAAGUAUUUAAGUGUUGUUGAUUUUCGUACCUGCGUCUGUUUCUGCAACACAAGUUGGAUUUUCAUUCUCAGCCAUGCAUAUUUUUUAGGUAUAGUUCUCAACAUAAAGGCUAUCACUGCCUCACACCAAAUGGUAAGGUCAUUGUCUCUCGUCAUGUUGUGUUUGAUGAACGUUGGUUUUUCUUUUCUUCAAAUGCUGUGAACACCGUUCAGUUAAGUCCAUGUAUCUCUACAUAUGUUCCUAUUGUUCGGUCUUCAUCUUGCCGCCCCACGACAUCUUCGCUUGUUCGACCCACUGAGUCAUCGACUCUUGCUCCUAAUUGUAGUUCCACGCUGUCUGUUUCAGUUGACACUCCGGCUGAAUUAGGUUUUACUCAUGAGGUGCAUCGGCUCUCUACCUCAUCCCUUGAAUCUCGUCAAUGCGAUCCAACUACAAUUCCAUUGGCUGUUCCAUCUAUUUCUCUGGAAUACUCAUAACACUAUUACUCAGCUAGACCCAAAGCUCUGUCUGUUGAAAUUGUCAACUGUGAGUCGAUCACGAUUGAAGAGGCGCUCGCUAGUAAGGAAUGGCAAUUAGUUGUCCAAGCUGAGUUUGUUGCUAUAAUGGUUAACUCCACUUGGGAGCUUGUUCCCUUACCUCAUGGUCGAAAAGUGAUUAGGUGUAAGUGGCUUUUUAAAAUAAAAAAAUCCUGAUGGGACUAUCACUUGACGUAAGGCUCGGUUGGAAGCAAAGGGUUGUUCUCAGGUACUCAGGUGUGAUUUCAAGGAAACCUUUAGUUUGGUAGUUAAACCUGCUACUAUUAGAACCAUAUUAUCUGUUGCUAUCUCCAACGGUUGGCAAUUUGGUCAGGUAGAUGUGAACAAUGCUUUUUUAAAUGGUGAUCUUAUUGACGAAGUGUUCAUGCAGCAACCUCUAGGCUAUGUUCAGAUUGGUCAAAAUGGUGAGCCCUUGGUGUAUCAUUUGACAAAGGUGUUGUACAGAUUAAGACAAGCUCCACGUGCUUGGUUUGAUAAAUUGAAACGUUUUUUUGUUUCUAUUGGAUUUGCUUUAUCCAAAUCUGAUGUAUCCUUAUUUGUUCAAGUUAAUUCGAAUCCACUAUUUAUGUUUUAGUCUAUAUGGAUGAUAUUAUCGUUACUAGAAGUACGAUCGACGGUAUAAAUGGCUGUAUUCAAUAGUUACAUAAUGUGUUUCCCUUAAAGAUAUGGGAGAUCUUUACUACUUCUUAGGCAUUGAAGUCACUCGGUAGUCCACUGGGAGUCUCCAUUUGUGCCAACGCAAAUACAUUCGGGAUCUUCUUGACAGUAGUUUUUUAGCUAAUGCAAAGAGUGUUCACACACCGAUGGUUAGUUCUUUUACGUUGUUUAAAGAUGUGGGAGAUCGCCUCGUUGAUCCUACUGGAUAUAGAAGUCUUGUCGGUGUAUUACAAUAUGUGGUCUUGACUCUGCCUGAUAUUGCUUAUGCUAUAAAUCAUGUUUGUCAAUUCAUGCAUGCCCCUACUACAGUACAUUUGGUGGCUUUGAAAAGAAUCUUGCACUAUUUAUGUGACACUAUUAAUCAUGGGUUAAUUUUGUCUGUUCAACAUAUUGUCUUUAGUUGGCUAUGCUAAUGCCAACUGGGGACUGGAUUUUGAUGAUCGUAAAUCAACAACAAGCUAUUGUUUGUAUUUUGGGUAUACACCCAUCUCUUGGUGAUCUAAGAGACAACUCUACUGCGUGAGGCGAAGUAUUUUGGCCGCACCAUGGCUGAGGUGAAGUAUCGAAGUCUAGCAACAACUACCAGUGAUGUUACUUGGUUAGUCUCUCUACUAACAAAAUUACAGAUUCAUUCUAUAGAUCCACAUACUAUUUGGCGUGACAACUCUAAUGCAGUAGCGGUCAUUGCUAAUCCGGUCUGACACUCUAAAUUUAAACAUGCCAAGCUUGAUCUAUUUUUUGUUCGCGAAAAGGUCGCUAAUGGUUCUCUCGUUGUCGGUGAGAUUCUAGCAUGUGAUUAAGUUGCUGACAUUCUCACAAAACCACUGUUCGUCUCUACUUUUGCUAGGUUUCGUAGUCUGCUUCAAUUCUUACCUCUUGAGAAGCUGGGUGAAGCCAGGUGAAUAUUAGAGUAUAGACUCUGUUAGUCUGUUACCAUUUUGUUAUUCAGGCUGGAAUAUUGUUAGUAAGCAGUUAGUCAUAGCAGUUAGUCAUACAAUUAUAAAUUCUAUUCAUGUAUUGUUCAAAGGUAAGCUAAUAAUACCAAAAGAGAUUUAAUGUGCUCAUUCUACUUUCUUUGUUAUUCUUCAUAAUACAGUUGUUAACAUGCUUGAUAUCAUCUCUUAGAGAGAACGAGGAGAGAUAAGAGUAAGAGUAUGAGCCAACUAGGGAUAAGGCUCUACCAUAAUACCUUGGAUGCAAUUAAAGUAAGAGUAAGAGCCAACUUGUUUGGCUUGAUAGCAUCCCCUUAUAGAAAAGGCUCUACCGCAUGGCAUGAGAGCAAUAAAAGUAACACUCAAUUUCUUGGGUUGAUAGCAUCUCCUUAGGGAAAAGGGUUUACCAUGUGACAUGAAAGCAAUUAAAGUAAGAGUAAGAUCCAACUUGUUUGUCUUAAUAGCAUCAUUUAAGAGAAAUAUCCCAAUCAAUUUAUUCAAAUAUGUUAAUCAAAUAAUGCAAGUUACAAUGUUCUGUCAGUUUUUCCUUUAAUUGUAACUGGGUUAAAGUUGGUAGUUGUAACUGCUACUAAUAGAAUGGAUACGGUAGAAAUGGUUGCAAGCAACAUAAGCAAAGAUGACUUUAAUGUCUUUGUAUUGACCACGUGAGAACUAUAGAAUGCAGAGAAUAGUAUGGUGAUUGGCAACAGAAUGCUACUAACCUUGAGGAUAGUAGACAGGGAUGGAUCCACGGGGGUUGGGGGCGGUCCCCCCUUGGAAUUUUUAAAAUUUUAAAUUUUAUAUAUAAAUUAUCAUGUAUUUUAAAUUUGGUGUCCACAUUGUAUAGCAUUCACCCCCCUUUUCCAAAUUGCAUUUCAUAUCAUUUGCCCUCUUAAGCCAUAAGGUUAUACUUUAUAUUAACAAAGUAUUUUCCAUUUUUUAAUUAUAUAAAUUUAAUAAUAAUAAUAAUAAUCAAAUAUUAAUAUAUGAUUGGCAUUGAAAGACUAAACAUAAAGGUCCAGUUGAGACUUUAAAGCCAAAUUCCAUAAUUAAUUAAUUGAUUUGGCCCAUACCAGUACAUAUUAGGUUAGCGAAAUUCUUGUAUUUUGAUUUGUAUGUCUUGCUAAGGAAUUAUCUUCCUUUGGUAAGGUGUUGACACUGCCAAGAGAAAAAGAAAGGAUUUUGAUGUCGAGAUUGUGAGCAUAGAGUAAAAAAAAUACAAAUUAUCUUCCUCUUAGCUCCUUAUGGAAAAAACCUCUCGGUAAAUAUUUUUGCAUAAAUUAUGUUUUUUAUUAAUUUGACUUAGUUUUUUUCUUUUUUCCUAAUACAUUGUUGUUUAAUAUAUUCUUACAAUCAUCAGGUUUUUUGACUAAAUUAUGGUCAAUAAAAACAUCGAAUCUAUUUAAAAAAAAAGAGUGUCAGAAAGCAAUAAUGAUCAACCGGUUCCUCAACCUUCCAUUAUUAGUGAAGAAAAAUCAAAUAUCGGAUCUUCCAAAGCUCUUGAACAAAAUAUCAGGUCUUCUUAAGCCCAAGCUCCUAAAUGCGGUAUGGAGUCUUCCCCAACUCCUGAACGAGAUUGUAACAAUCCAUACCCAAUUCGAUCACCAAAUCCAAGUAGAGAGCGCCGCAACUUAAACCAUAUGAAUUGAAUAAUAAAUAUUUGAAAUUUAUUAAAGUAUCGAGUUCUUGGUGUAACCCUCAGUAUAACAAUACGAAACAAUUAAAUCAAUGAUACGCCAGGAAAAAAUGUUUUUAGGCAAAACACAUGGCGGAAGCCUUACAAAAUUUUAUAAGUUUAUAUAAAAUGUAAGAUGAGUUAAUCCCAUACAACAGUUUCAAGUGCAUCGUUGGCGGUUAAAAGAACAUUCAAAAACUAUUCGGCGUAUAUGCCAAUGAGACAAUCACGUGGAACAAGAUAUAGUAGCUUAAACACAUACAUCACUUACCACGUCAUCAUAACAUAUACUAACCAUAUAAACAAACUUAUCGAGCUGCGAACUAACAAGUUCACCCAAACAUCUAGGGUUAGCGAUAACUUAUUAGAAGAGCCCGCCAAACCCUAGAGUUCGCCAAAACCUGGAGUUCACCAAAUGGCGACUCCCAUAGAAUACGCCAAACACACAACCAAAAAUAAAUACUCUACUAAUUUACUCAUUUUAUAUUCUUAGCAUAAACAACUAUGCACCAAACAGUAACUUGAUACAUUAUCUUUCGGGCGAGUUGUUACAAUUCUCCCCCAUUUAGAAACUUUUGUCCUUGAAAUUCUUACCGGUGAAUAACUGAGGAUAUUGUUCUUUCAUCGAACUCUCUCUUUCCCAAAUGGCUUCUUUUGUAUUGUGAUUUAUCUAUAAUACAUUAACCAAAGGAAUUCUUUUACUUCUCAACUCUUUUACUUCCCUUGCUAAAAUACAAACAGGUUCUUCUUCAUAGGACAAGUUUUGCUCCACUUCCAGUGCUUUGACUUGUACCACAUAAUCUGGAUUGGAUUGAUAUUUUCUUAACAUAGAUAUAUUAAACACAUUAUGUAUAUUUGAUAACUCUGGUGGCAACACCAGUUUGUAUGCCACUGGACCAACUUAUUCCAAAAUCUCAUAUGGUUCUAUGAAAUGCAGACUUAAUUUCCCUUUUUGUUCAAACCUUAUGAUCUUCUUCCAAAGAGAAAACUUCAUAAAUGCAUUGUCACCCACUUCGAAAGAGAUUAUUUUCCUUUUUAGAUCAGCAUAAGCUUUCUGGCGAUCUUAAGUUACUUUCAGAUGAUUUCUAAUGAUAAAGACUUUCUCUUCUGUUUCUCAUACUAAAUCAAGACCAACUAUUUUCCUUUUACUGAGUCUCAUCCAAUAGGUAGGAGAUCUGCACCUUCGUCUAUACAAAGCUCCAAAUGGUAACAUUCCCAGACUGUCAUAAUAACUAUUAUUAUACGCAAACUCUAGCAAAGGAAGAUAUCUUUCUCAAUUCAUUCUAAAAUCUAUAAUACAACCUCUAAACAUGUCUUCUAGAACUUGAAAUACUCUUUCAAAUUGCUCAUCGAAUUAGGGAUGAAAGGUAGUACAGAAUCAUUAUUUCGUUCCCAACGAUUCUUGCAGUUGUCUCCAAAAUCUCAAUGUAAACAUUGGGUCUCGAUCUGAAACUAUGGAUGUUGGAAUCCCAUGAGGCGUACAACUUCAGAAACGUAGAGAUUAGCCAACUUUUCCAAUAAGUAAUUUGUGCGGACAAACAAGAUAUGGGCUAACUUAGUAAGUCGAUCUACAAUUACCUAGACUGAGUACUUCUUCGAAAGGAUGAGAGGGAGAGCCAAAACAAAAUCCAUGGUGAUCUUAUCCCACUUCCACAUAGAUAUCUCUAAAAGGUACAACUUGCCUAAGGGAACCUGAUGUUCUAUUUUAAUCUGCUGACAUGUCAAACAAAUGGAAAUGUACUUUGUUAUUUCUUUCUUCAUUUCAAGUCAGUAAUACAAACUUAUCAAAUUAUGAUACAUUUUAUGUAAAACUCUCAACCCAACUCGAAAUGUCGAGUCUGGAUCUCGGGUAUUACUAUACAUAAUACUUGGCAAAAUAUCAAAAUAGUUGACAAAUACUCUUUAUAGAAAACAUUUUCUUAUUAUUUUAACCAAAAGACUAAAUAUUUAAUAACAAGAGAAAAUAUUAAAAACAAAAAAAAAUUAUUACAUCAGACUUGGUACAACUCAUUAUAGUAUAAAAUUUUGUUAAAGACAUACUCUUGGGGCAUAACCCUAAUCUAAGCCACUUUUCCACUAUAUGCAUAAUAACCCACUUCGCCACUAUCUUGGCGUACUCCUAGCAUCGUCACUCCUAAUGCAUUCUCUACCCAUACACCUGAAAACAACAACAUUUUAAGCUUAAGAUAACUUAGUGACUUUUAUCCCAAAAAUACCUUGGCGAGUACUUUAUAUUAUUUGAAGAACAUUUGUGCGCCAUCUAUCCUUCUGAACCACCUUCUUCUGAAUUAAGUGGAUACUAUUAUAGAUUCAACUUUCACUUACACGCCAACUAUCAUACUCUUAACAAACUCACUUAUUCUAGAAUAGUUGUUCACAUAUAUUAAUCACUAAUUGAUACAUUCAUAUUUGGCGAAUACUUACGCAGAUCUGAAUACCAUCAAACUACUAAUCAAAUCAUACCUUGAUCCGAUACCAUACAAACUCAUACUGAUAAUGUACUACACAAAUUAUUCAAAUGAAUUUUCCACUACUUUGUUACAGGACCCCAGAUAAUCAUCAUAACAAUAACUCAAUUUUCAUAUGAUUUCAGAAGAAGAUAUAAUACAACCCAAAUACGGCAAAUUCCAGAUAACUCAGAUUCAACAACUGCUUAACACAUACGAACUCACAUUUAUAAUUUCUUAUGUCCCACAUAACUACGACUAUGUCUAUAUUCAACACUAACAAAUAAUCAUGACGGAUACCCUUCUUAUACAUAUAUGCAUUUCUUUUCUAGAAAUCUCUUAAGACUUACUCAAUUAUAUCACAUAUCUUAUUCAACCCUUAACUUUAGACAUAUCAUAACCCUAUCAUAUCAAUAUCUAUCACAAAAAAAAUCAGGAUUUAUCCAAAACUUACCAUAAAGGUAGAUAAUCAUAUUAUAUCAGACAAACUUAACUAAAUGUGCCACAAAGGCCAAACAAAAUAUGCCUUAAAGGCUUCAUACAAAAUCACGUGUUUACUAUCCCGACGGACUAUCACAAAAGGUGUCAUGGGUUUCUCCCACAUGGACUUAUACAUAAUUUCAUGUAUUGUGAUCUGCCAUUUUGAAUCAUACGUUAUCGAAGGAUACUCCAUAAGCAUACAUACAGACAUAUCUUGCCAUGUGUCUCAGCCACAUGGCUUAAACACACAUUCAUGUACUGUGAUAUGUCAAUCCAGUCUUACUCUUAUUAGAGCCUACACCAUGAGUGUUUUCAAAUCAUAUUAAGAUGUUGUAGGUCUCAACCUCAUAGUCUUACACUUGUUUUCAUAUCGUGACCUGCCAGUCUAGUUAGCAAUAUAAUUGCCUACCAGAGGCUUCAUAGAGGAACAUUUGCUUAGAUUCACUUACCUAGAUGAUCUGUAACACCCCUUACCCGAGACCGUUGUCAGAGUCGAGCACGAGGUAUUACUUAUCUUAUCUUACUAACUCGAAGCAUAAAAACUUGUUUUAAAAAUUAAUUUCACUAUUUAUAGCAAUUUGUCCAAUCGCGCAGCAGUUACUAAAUUAAUUAUAACUCGAGAUACGGAACUUGAAAUUUAACUCCGUAAAUUUUCCCUGAAACUAGACUCAUAUAUCUUCCUACCAUAAAAAUUUUAGGAUUUUUAGUUUAUCAAAUUAGUACAGUUUAUUAGUUAAAUUCUCCCCUGUUUCACAAAUCGACUGCCCUGACCUCUUAUCACUAAAAAUAAAAUGUAUCAUUGUGGGAUUUUCGUAUAGUGCUACCGCUUGCUUCUACAGAAAAUAGACUCAAUAAGGAAUCUAUACAUAUAAACUACAACUCAUAAAUAUUUUUUUAAAAUUUUUAAUGAUUUUAUAAACUCAAAACAGGGGUCACCAAAAACUGUUCUAACCCUGUCUCACCAAAAUUCACAUAUCUUAAAAUAUAAAUUCCUUUUGCUACACCGUUAUUUUUAUGUGAAAAUAGACUCAACAAGAUUUAUGUCAUUCAAUAUUUAAUUCAUUUUAUACUAUCCUAGGUGAUUUUUCAAAGUCACGUCACUGUUGCUGCCUGAAUUCUGUUUCUUUGCAAAAUUUUACCCUUUUAUGAUUUCCAUGCAUAGUUUAUCACUUAGACUCUUAUAACAACAAACACUUCCAUACUUAACCAUUUUAGCAACCAUUCAUCAUCAAAUACUUACACAUCAUUCUUUAGCAAGAUCAUAAAUACAAACAUUUAAAAUAACUAAAUCCCUUUACAUUCCAUACUCAACAUGGUUCAACAUAAAAAUACCGAGUUGCUGUGGUUGAUAGUGUGGACGAUCUCCGACUUCUUUAGGAUCCUUGAAGUAACCUUGCAAUACUAUAAGAGAAAGAGAAAUAAAAGACGUAAGCAUAAAGCUUAGUAAGUUUACUAGCAAAUAAAUAACAAUAUUUAACUAGAUAAUUAAACUCAAGUGUCUAUAUCUCUAGUUUACUAUUUAGUUAAUCUCAUUCUAGUUCUCUUGCUUGUUUACUUAGUAUACUUGUGUGCAUAACUUACUCCUCUCUUGCUGUAUAGUUGAAUAUCAAUUGAUAAUAUAAUAAGUUAUUAACUCUUAUAACUUACCUGAACUUGCCAUUUAUGUUUUUAACUGAACUUUCCUGAACAUGAUUCGUUAUUUAGCCCGUUGAGCUACAUUGGAACAAUAAGGAUACUCGGGUCUCUUCUGAUAAUAACAUGCCAAAGCCAUGUCCCAGACAUGGUCUUACAUGGGAUGUACUCAUGUCGGUGCCCAUUCCAUAUCCCAGACAUGGUCUUACGGGGGACCUCUCAUCUCGGUGCCAAUGCCAUGUCCCAGACAUGGUCUUACAUGGGACCUCUCAUCUCGGUGCCAACGCCAUGUCCCAGACAUGGUCUUACAUGGGACCUCUCAUCUCGGUGCCAACGCCAUGUCCCAGACAUGGUCUUACAUGGGACCUCUUUACCCAAAUGUCAUGACAUUCGUAUCCAGUACCAUCCUUACUAUUCAUGACAACCGAUAUAUAUAUAUACAUACUCACUAUUCACAAGGACUCGAACGAUUAUAUACUCAUCAACCACCUUAAAACAAUGUUCAUAAACUUAUCCAUUUCAUAUAAACAAAAGCAUAUAUAUUUAUAACCAAUGCAUAGAAUCACUUAAUUUAAACAGAUUCACUGGCACUUCACCUGAUAGGCUUAUAGUUUAAUUCAGUUCACCGGCACUUAGCCUACUAGGCUUGUAGCCUGAUUCAGUUCACCGGCACUUAGCCUGCUAGACGUAUAGUCCGAUUCAAUUCACCGGCAUUUAGCCUGCUAGACGUAUAGUCUGAUUCAAUUUACCGGCACUUAGCCUGCUAGACGUAUAGUCUGAAUAAUUUUACUGGUAAUAAAUCCGAUAGUAAUUUCUCCGUUGAAAUUGAAUUAUAUUCAAUUCUGCGUAACAAACAUGCACUUAAAACAUACUUGCAUAAUUCACAACAAUAAUUUCAGUCCAAAGAGCUGUAAUUCAUAUUCGAACUAUAUAUAUAUAAAUCCAUACAUAAAAAUUCAACUCAAAAUUUAUAACCUAUAUCUUUGAACCACAUAGGUACAUGAAAUUCAAACACCAAAAUCCAGCUCAAUAACUUCAUGAUUCAACCUAACAAAUUUAUGUAUAUAACUUUUUAUCUAAUUUCAAUACAAUAACUUAUACAUGUACGUAUAUACAUAUUCGAAUCUAACAUAUACAUAUAUAAUUUCAUACUUAAAUAUAUUCAAGACUUAUUCAUGAGUAUACAUAUAUAUUACAACUCACAUGUACAUAUAUAUACACAUUCAUACCUUUAACCAAGUCCAAGGCUUUAUACAUGUAUAUGCUUAUAUAUAUAUAUUCGGACCUUAUGUUUACAUAUAUAUAUUAUAUAAAUACCUUUGAUUAAAAACAAGUAUUUAUACAUAUAUAUAUUUUCGAACAUGAUACAUAUAUAUUUAUAUCAUUCAUACUUAAACAAAAUUCAAUCCAUAUACUUUCAAUUUCAGCUCACCAAAUUACUAUAGAUAUACAUGCAUAUAUACUGAUUUAAUAACCUCAAAUUGCUAAUAGACUUACCUCGGAUAUCAGCGGACACGAUCGAGUAUUCGAUUACUUUCGUUUUUCCCCGAUCCAAAUUCGUUUUCUUCGUUUUUUAUCUUAAUUAGACCUAGAGAUAGCCGAACCUUGUUGUUCUCUUUUCUUUUCUUUUCUUUUUCUUUUCUAUAUUCGGCCAAGAUGAAGAACAUGGCAUUUAAAAUUUGUUAUAUUAAACAUAUAUUAGCCUUAUUUUUAAUUUACUAUAUUAACCUUUACAUAUAUAUAACAUAUAUAAUAAGGUUACAUUAGUCCUUUGCCACCCACUAACUUACAUAGUGGACUAAUUGCAUAGUAAAACCUCUAAAUUAUAAAGACAACAAGAAUUAGGUCCUUUUAUAAUUAACCCCUAAAUUUUCAUUUUACGCGAUUAAGCCCUUUUAUUAAAUCGGACACUUAAACGACGAAAUUAAAACACGAAAAUUUCACACAAUCAAAUGCAUACAAAACAAUAUUAAUAAUAUUUUUCUAAUUCAAAUUUGUGGUCCCGAAACCAGUAUUCUGAUUAGGGUCAAAAACCGGGUUGUUACAACUCUCCCCCCUUAGGGAUUUUCGUCCCCGAAAAUCUUACCGGUGAAUAGGUUUGGAUAACGCUCUUUCAUUGUAUCUUCUAACUCCCAAGUUGCUUCUUCAACCCCAUGUUUAUGCCACAACACUUUAACUAACGGAAUUUUCUUAUUUCGUAAUUCUUUGAUCUCACGAGCCAGAAUGCUAAUCGGUUCUUCCUCAUAUGUCAUAUCAGAGUUAAUUUCAAUCUCCGUCGGACUAAUCACAUGUGAAGGAUCAGAUCGGUAUCUACGAAGCAUCGAAACAUGGAAUACGUUAUGAAUCUUUUCUAACUCAGGCAGUAACAUCAAUCUAUAAGCAACCAAUCCAACUCGCUCUAUAAUCUCAUACGGUCCAAUGAAUCUCGGACACAAUUUGCCUUUACGACCAAAUCUGAGUAUUUUCUUCCACGGUGAGACUUUUAAAAACACUUUAUCCCCGAUCUGAAAUUCUAUAUCCUUUCUUUUCAAAUUCGCAUAAGAUUUCUGACGAUCCGAUGCUGAUUUCAGACUGUCCCGAAUCACUUUCACUUUCUGUUCGGUCUCUUUAAUCAAAUCAACCCCGUGUAUCUUAUUUUCACUGAGCUCGGUCCAAUACAGUGGUGUACGACAUUUACAACCGUACAAAGCCUCAUAAGGUGCCAUUUUGAUACUAGAUUGAAAGCUAUUAUUAUAAGCAAAUUCAAUCAAAGGUAAGUAUCGUUCCCACGUACCUUCAAACUCGAGAAUGCAACAUCUCAACAUAUCCUCAAGUAUCUGAAUGAUUCAUUCAGAUUGACCAUCUGUCUGCGGAUCGAAAGCUGUGCUAAAAUGUAGUUUCGUACCUAAAGCAUCUUGUAGUUUCUUCCAAAAUCGCGAUGUGAAUCUCAGAUCUCUGUCUGAAACAAUAGAAAUAGGUACACCAUGCAACCUCACAAUUUGUGAAAUAUACAAUUCCGCAAGUUUAUCGAGCGAAAAAUCUGUACGAAUCGAAAUAAAAUGUGUCGAUUUUGUCAACCUAUCAACAAUAACCCAGAUUGCAUCUAUCUUGCUCGGUGUCAACGGUAAAUCGGAUACAAAAUCCAUCGUGACUCGAUCCCAUUUCCAUUGAGGUAUCAUGAUCGGCUGAAGCAACCCAGAUGGUACCUGAUGCUUGGCUUUAACUUGCUGACAAAUUAAACAUUUCGAAACAAAGUCAGAAAUGUCUCGUUUCAUACCUUGCCACCAAUAGUGCUGUUUCAGAUCGUUAUACAUUUUCGUGCUACCCGGAUGAACAGAAAAUCGACUACUAUGAGCUUCCUUCAAAAUCAUCUAAAUUAACUCUGAUUUUUUCGGAACACAUAAUCGGUUUCUAAAUCUCAAACAAUCCUCAGCAUCAACUAAAAACUCCGAAUCAAUAUUUAAGUCACAUUGAGCUCGUUUUGCAGUUAAAUCAUUAUCGACCUUUUGAGCUUCACAAAUCUGUUGUACAAAUAACGGUUUUGCUUUCAACUCAGCUACUAUCGCACCAUCAUCAGACAUAACCAUAUGUGCGUUCAUUGCACGCAAAGCAAACAGUGAUUUUCGACUUAGGGCAUCAGCAACAACAUUAGCCUUUCCCGGAUGAUAGUCAAUCACAAGCUCGUAUUCUUUCAGCAAUUCUAACCAUCGACGCUGUCUCAAAUUCAGAUAUUUCUGAGUCAUCAAAUAUUUCAGGCUUUUGGGAUCGGAAUAAACAUGACAUCUUUCACCAAACAGAUAGUGACGCCAUAUUUUUAACGCAAAUACAAUAGCGGCCAAUUCCAGAUCAUGUGUCGGAUAGUUUUUUUCAUGCGGCUUUAACUGUCUCAAGGCAUAGGCUACAACUUUGCCUUCCUACAUCAAAACACAACCCAAACCAUUUAAAGAUGCAUCACUAUAGAUAACAAACUCUUUACCCGAUUCGGGUUGAACUAAGACUGGAGCUUCGGUCAAAAGAACUUUCAACUGAUCAAAGUUUUUCUGACACUUUUCUGACCACUCGAACUUAACGUCUUUUUGUAGUAGCUUUGUCAUCGGGGUCGCAAUCAUAGAAAACCCUUUCACGAACCGUCUAUAAUAACCAGCGAGCCCCAGAAAGCUUCGAACAUCAGAGACAUUUCUCGGAGGUUUCCAAUCAAGUAUAGCUGAAAUUUUACCUGGAUCAACUCGAAUACCCGAUGCUGACACAACAUGGCCCAGAAAACUAACUUCACGUAACCAGAACUCGCAUUUACUGAACUUUGCAUACAACUGUUUAUCUCGCAAAGUUUGUAACACAAGUCUCAGAUGUUCAGUAUGCUCGGUUUCAUCACGAGAGUAGAUCAAAAUAUCAUCUAUAAAUACUACCACAAAUCGAUCCAGAUACUGUCUAAAAAUCUGAUUCAUCAAAUCCAUGAAAACAGCAGGUGCAUUAGUAAGUCCAAAAGGCAUAACCAAGAACUCAUAAUGUCCGUACCUCGUUCGGAAAGCUGUCUUUGGCACAUCAGAGUCUUUAACUCGCAACUGAUAGUAGCCUGAUCUCAGAUCUAUCUUCGAAAACACAGUAGCCCCUUUCAACUGAUCGAACAAAUCAUCAAUCCGUGGUAACGGAUACUUAUUCUUUAUAGUCACCUUAUUGAGUUGCCGGUAAUCAAUGCACAUUCUCAUUGUUCUGUCUUUCUUUUUCACAAAUAGAACUGGUGCACCCCAAGGAGAGAAACUCGGUCGUGUAAAACCUUUAUCAGUCAACUCUUGCAACUGUACUUUCAAUUCUUUUAAUUCGGUCGGUACCAUACGGUACGGAGCUAUCGAAAUUGGAGUUGUCCCUGGUACUAACUCAAUACCAAACUCUACCUCUCGAAUAGGUGGCAAACCCGGUAAUUCUUCGGGAAACACGUCUGAAUACUUACACACUACUGGCACAGAUUCAAUCUUCUUUUCGGUCACUUUACUAUCAAGAAAAAAUGCAAGGUAAUCUUCACAACCUUUUCUCACAUACUUCUGAGCCGACAUCGAGGAUAUUAUUGCUGGUAAACCAUUCAGAUCAUUAGAUUCAAUCCGAAUAAUCUCAUCAUUCUGACACCGUAGAUCAAUAGUUUUCCGUUUGCAGUUUACUAUAGCAUUAUGCAGAGUUAACCAAUCCAUACCCAGAAUUAUAUCAAACUCGUCAAAUGGUAGCAACAUCAAAUCAGCCAGAAAACAUAAAUCUCGAAUCAUCAACGGACAAUUCUUGCACACUUUGUCAACCAAAACACACCGGCCCAAGAGGUUCAAUACUUUAAUUACAAACUCAGUAGACUCAACAGGCAAAGUCUUACUGAAUACUAAAGUCUCACACACAUAAGAAUGAGUCGAACCAAGAUCAAUCAAUGCAAUAACAUUAGUAUCAUAAAGAGUGAAAGUACCAGUAAUAACAUCUGGAGAAGAAGCCUCCUCCCGAGCACGGAUGGCAUAUGCUCUGGCAAGUGCACGAGCCUCAGAUCGAACUGCCAUGUCCUUUGUUCCUCUCUGACUGCCACUUACAUUACUCAAUUGCCUCGGCGGUCUACCUCGUACAGGUACUUUACUCGGUCUGGUAUUCUACACAGUGUUUUGCUCAGCUACCAUCGGACACUCUCGAAUGAAAUGAUCCUUUGAACCGCACUUAAAGCAAGACCGAUCAUGUAAUCUGCAAUCUCCAGGAUGCCAUUUCCCACAAUGCUUGUACUCUGAUCUAUUUUGUCGAACACUACCAACGCUAGCAACUGAAGUAGCUCGUGAACUCACAGGGGGUCGAUCUCGAUCAUACUUAGGAAACCCUGCAGUAGCUUUAGAUCGGCUAUGAUCCUCUCUGGAUUUCAUUGAGGUCGACUGGAAUGAUUUACUGAAUGAUCUUUUACGAGAAUCUCGAGCUUCAUAGCCAGCUUUCCUCUUCUCUUUACUGAGCUCCUUAACUUUACAAGGUCGUUCAACAAGUACUACGAACUCUUUUAUCUCAAGUAUACCAAAUAACAGUUUAAUAUCUUCAUCCAGCCCAUCUUCAAAUCUUUUACACAUGAUAGCUUCAGUCGAAAUACAUUCUCGAGCAUAUCUACUGAGUCUCACAAAUUUCCGCUCAUAUUCUAUCACUGUCAUACGACCCUGUUUCAAUUCAAGAAAUUCCUUAUGCUUCUGAUCAAUGAAUCUUUGGCUGAUGUAUUUCUUACAGAACUCAAUCUGAAAGAAUUCCCAGGUCACUCGCUCUUUCGGAACCACCGAUACUAGUGUAUUCCACCAGUGAUAUGCAGUGUCCCGUAGCAAAGAUAUGGCACAUUUCAAGUACUCAUCAGGGGUGCAAGAUAACUCAUCAAACACUCGAAUAGUAUUAUCAAGCCAGAAUUCAGCUUGCUCAGCAUCAUCAUCAUCAGUAGCUCUGAACUCUUCGACCCCGUGUUUUCAAAUUUAGUCAACAGGAGGCUUAAGUAAUCUCAUCGGAUCACUUACUUGAGGUAUAAUAGGAAUCGAAGGUGGAUUAGUCGGGGGUGGAGUUUGUUGUGCAACCGGAUUAGUUCGGACAUAUUGAGUAAACCAGUCAUUCAUCAUUUGGUAGAAGGCUUGUUUAGCCUCUCCCUCCUGGUUACUCGAGGUCGGUCGAGAAUCUACCAGCUCUGUCCCUUGUGUGGGAGCAGGCGCUAUACUCUCAACAUCAUCGACUACGGCUGGAUCGGGAUCCAUUACUAUACGAAAACACAUUUUUAGACAUCAGCAGUCAUCGCACUAUCUUGGUAUAAAAAUAUGGCAUGUAUAGCUAGACUCAUACAUGCUACAUUAGUCCAAGAAUCGAUUAAACCGUAGCUCUGAUACCAAUAAAAUGUAACACCCCUAACCCGUAUCCGUCGCCGAAUUAGGGUUACGAGGCAUUACUGAACAAAUACAACCAUUUUUAAAACCAACUGAUCACAAACAUGAAAAUUAAAUCAUUUUCACAUAGCUAUUUAUAAUUUACAAUCAACAUCUAACCAACAUCGUACUCAAACCUAUACAUGCCAUAAGAUCAAGUUCAAAUAUUUAACAAAAUACCAAAAGGGGUCGAAAGUGUGAUAGACUAUGCUGAUGAUCCCCGAGCUCGUAACGCAUCUCCAAAAUCUAUAAAAACAAAUGGACAAAAACAAUCAAAGUAAGCUUUUAUAGCUUAGUAAGUCUAUAGCAUAUCUAAAAUACAUAUAAAAGAAUCAUAUAAUUCUUAAAAUAAAUUUAUUGAAAUCACAAUUAUCAAUUAUAAUUACUAAUCGAACAUUGCUAUAUUAAGUCAUCUUGUUUAAAUCUAAAAGGAUGUGUAUUUAUCUAAUACACAUGAACGGACAAAUGUAUAUACAUUAUAUGCAUAUAAUCAAUUUACUAACAUAAUCAUUAAUUGCAUAUACGGAUUUCUAUAGUACUUAUUGUUCGCACUUAAUCGGAUCCAUUUAAAUAUAAUUGUUCAAAUACAUAUACCAAAAGCAUAAUAAUUUUAUACUUGAUCAACUAUAAGUGCCGAAUGCACAUAUACACCUAUACCCACCUAUGCCGAAUGCAUACAUAUAUACACAUAUAUAUAUAUCCAACAAUUUCGUGACAACCGAUAUAUAUAUACAUACUCACUAUUCACAAGGACUCGAACGAUUAUAUACUCAUCAACCACCUUAAAACAAUGUUCAUAAACUUAUCCAUUUCAUAUAAACAAAAGCAUAUAUAUUUAUACCCAAUGCAUAGAAUCACUUAAUUUAAACAGAUUCACUAGCACUUCACCUGAUAGGCUUAUAGUUUAAUUCAGUUCACCGGUACUUAGCCUACUAGGCUUGUAGCCUGAUUCAGUUCACCGGCACUUAGCCUGCUAGACGUAUAGUCCGAUUCAAUUCACCGGCAUUUAGCCUGCUAGACGUAUAGUCCGAUUCAAUUUAUCGGCACUUAGCCUGCUAGAUGUAUAGUCUGAAUAAUUUUACUGGUAAUAAAUCCGAUAGUCAUUUCUCCGUUGAAAUUGAAUUAUAUUCAAUUCUGCGUAACAAACAUGCACUUAAAACAUACUUGCAUAAUUCACAACAAUAAUUUCAGUCCAAAGAGCUGUAAUUCAUAUUCGAACUAUAUAUAUAAAUCCAUACAUAAAAAUUCAGCUCAAAAUUUAUAACCUAUAUCUUUGAACCACAUAGGUACAUGAAAUUCAAACAACAAAAUCCAGCUCAAUAACUUCAUGAUUCAACCUAACAAAUUUAUGUAUAUAACUUUUUAUCUAAUUUCAAUACAAUAACUUAUACAUGUACGUAUAUACAUAUUCGAAUCUAACAUAUACAUAUAUAAUUUCAUACUUAAAUAUAUUCAAGACUUAUUCAUGAGUAUACAUAUAUAUUACAACUCACAUGUACAUAUAUAUACACAUUCAUACCUUUAACCAAGUCCAAGGCUUUAUACAUGUAUAUGCUUAUAUAUAUAUAUAUUCGGACCUUAUGUUUACAUAUAUAUUAUAUAUAAAUACCUUUGAUUAAAAACAAGUAUUUAUACAUAUAUAUAUUUUUGAACAUGAUACAUAUAUAUAUUUAUAUCAUUCAUACUUAAACAAAAUUCAAUCCAUAUACUUUCAAUUUCAGCUCACCAAAUUACUAUAGAUAUACAUGCAUAUAUACUGAUUUAAUAACCUCAAAUUGCUAAUAGACUUACCUCGGAUAUCAGCGGACACGAUCGACUAUUCGAUUACUUUCGUUUUUCCCCGAUCCAAAUUCGUUUUCUUCGUUUUUUUAUCUUAAUUAGACCUAGAGAUAGCCGAACCUUGUUGUUCUCUUUUCUUUUCUUUUCUUUUUCUUUUCUAUAUUCGGCCAAGAUGAAGAACAUGGCAUUUAAAAUUUGUUAUAUUAAACAUAUAUUAGCCUUAUUUUUAAUUUACUAUAUUAACCUUUACAUAUAUAUAUAACAUAUAUAAUAAGGUUACAUUAGUCCUUUGCCACCCACUAACUUACAUAGUGGACUAAUUGCAUAGUAAAACCUCUAAAUUAUAAAGACAACAACAAUUAGGUGCUUUUAUAAUUAACCCCUAAAUUUUCAUUUUACGCGAUUAAGCCCUUUUAUUAAAUCGGACACUUAAACGACGAAAUUAAAACACGAAAAUUUCACACAAUCAAAUGCAUACAAAAUAAUAUUAAUAAUAUUUUUCUAAUUCAAAUUUGUGGUCCCGAAACCAGUAUUCUGAUUAGGGUCAAAAACCGGGUUGUUACAACUCUCCCCCCUUAGAGAUUUUCGUCCCCGAAAAUCUUACCGGUGAAUAGGUUUGGAUAACGCUCUUUCAUUGUAUCUUCUGACUCCCAAGUUGCUUCUUCAACCCCAUGUUUAUGCCACAACACUUUAACUAACGGAAUUUUCUUAUUUCGUAAUUCUUUGAUCUCACGAGCAAGAAUGCUAAUCGGUUCUUCCUCAUAUGUCAUAUCAGAGUUAAUUUCAAUCUCCGUCGGACUAAUCACAUGUGAAGGAUCAGAUCGGUAUCUACGGAGCAUCGAAACAUGGAAUACGUUAUGAAUCUUUUCUAACUCAGGCAGUAACAUCAAUCUAUAAGCAACCAAUCCAACUCGCUCUAUAAUCUCAUACGGUCCAAUUAAUCUCGGACACAAUUUGCCUUUACGACCAAAUCUGAGUAUUUUCUUCCACGGUGAGACUUUUAACUUGCUCGGUGUCAACGGUAAAUCGGAUACAAAAUCCAUCGUGACUCGAUCCCAUUUCCAUUGAGGUAUCAUGAUCGGCUGAAGCAAUCCAGAUGGUACCUGAUGCUCGGCUUUAACUUGCUGACAAAUUAAACAUUUCGAAACAAAGUCAGAAAUGUCUCGUUUCAUACCUUGCCACCAAUAGUGCUGUUUUAGAUCGUUAUACAUUUUCGUGCUACCCGGAUGAACAGAAAAUCGAAUACUAUGAGCUUCCUUCAAAAUCAUCUGAAUUAACUCUGAAUUUUUCGGAACACAUAAUCGGUUUCUAAAUCUCAAACAAUCCUCAGCAUCAACUAAAAACUCCGAAUCAAUAUUUAAGUCACAUUGAGCUCGUUUUGCAGUUAAAUCAUUAUCAACCUUUUGAGCUUCACAAAUCUGUUGUACAAAUAACAGUUUUGCUUUCAACUCAGCUACUAUCGCACCAUCAUCAGACAUAACCAUAUGUGCGUUCAUUGCACGCAAAGCAAACAGUGAUUUUCGACUUAGGGCAUCAGCAACAACAUUAGCCUUUCCCGGAUGAUAGUCAAUCACAAGCUCGUAAUCUUUCAGCAAUUCUAACCAUCGACGCUGUCUCAAAUUCAGAUAUUUCUGAGUCAUCAAAUAUUUCAGGCUUUUGGGAUCGGAAUAAACAUGACAUCUUUCGCCAAACAGAUAGUGACGCCAUAUUUUUAACGCAAAUACAAUAGCGGCCAAUUCCAGAUCAUGCGUCGGAUAGUUUUUUUCAUGCGGCUUUAACUGUCUCAAGGCAUAGGCUACAACUUUGCCUUCCUACAUCAAAACACAACCCAAACCAUUUAAAGAUGCAUCACUAUAGAUAACAAACUCUUUACCCGAUUCGGGUUGAACUAGGACUGGAGCUUCGGUCAAAAGAACUUUCAACUGAUCAAAGUUUUUCUGACACUUUUCUGACCACUCGAACUUAACGUCUUUUUGUAGUAGCUUUGUCAUCGGGGUCGCAAUCAUAGAAAACCCUUUCACGAACCGUCUAUAAUAACCAGCGAGCCCCAGAAAGCUUCGAACAUCAGAGACAUUUCUCGGAGGUUUCCAAUCAAGUAUAGCUGAAAUUUUACUUGGAUCAACCUGAAUACCCGAUGCUGACACAACAUGGCCCAGAAAACUAACUUCACGUAACCAGAACUCGAAUUUACUGAACUUUGCAUACAACUGUUUAUCUCGCAAAGUUUGUAACACAAGUCUCAGAUGUUCAGUAUGCUCGGUUUCAUCACGAGAGUAGAUCAAAAUAUCAUCUAUAAAUACUACCACAAACAGAUCCAGAUACUGUCUAAAAAUCUGAUUCAUCAAAUCCAUGAAAACAGCAGGUGCAUUAGUAAGUCCAAAAGGCAUAACCAAGAACUCAUAAUGUCCGUACCUCGUUCGGAAAGCAGUCUUUGGCACAUCAGAGUCUUUAACUCGCAACUGAUAGUAGCCUGAUCUCAGAUCUAUCUUCGAAAACACAGUAGCCCCUUUCAACUGAUCGAACAAAUCAUCAAUCCGUGGUAACGGAUACUUAUUCUUUAUAGUCACCUUAUUGAGUUGCCGGUAAUCAAUGCACAUUCUCAUUGUUCCGUCUUUCUUUUUCACAAAUAGAACUGGUGCACCCCAAGGAGAGAAACUCGGUCGUGCAAAACCUUUAUCAGUCAACUCUUGCAACUGUACUUUCAAUUCUUUUAAUUCAGUCGGUGCCAUACGGUACGGAGCUAUCGAAAUUGGAGUUGUCCCUGGUACUAACUCAAUACCAAACUCUACCUCUCGAAUAGGUGGCAAACCCGGUAAUUCUUCGGGAAACACGUCUGAAUACUUACACACUACUGGCACAGAUUCAAUCUUCUUUUCGAUCACUUUACUAUCAAGAAAAAAUGCAAGGUAAUCUUCACAACCUUUUCUCACAUACUUUUUUGCCGACAUCGAGGAUAUUAUUGCUGGUAAACCAUUCAGAUCAUUAGAUUCAAUCCGAAUAAUCUCAUCAUUCUGACACCGUAGAUCAAUAGUUUUCCGUUUGCAGUUUACUAUAGCAUCAUGCAGAGUUAACCAAUCCAUACCCAGAAUUAUAUCAAACUCGUCAAAUGGUAGCAACAUCAAAUCAGCCAGAAAACAUAAAUCUCGAAUCAUCAACGGACAAUUCUUGCAUAUUUUGUCAACCAAAACACACCGGCCCAGGGGGUUCAAUACUUUAAUUACAAACUCAGUAGACUCAACAGGCAAAGUCUUACUGAAUACUAAAGUCUCACACACAUAAGAAUGAGUCGAACCAAGAUCAAUCAAUGCAAUAACAUUAGUAUCAUAAAGAGGGAAAGUACCAGUAAUAACAUCUGGAGAAGAAGCCUCCUCUUGAGCACGGAUGGCAUAUGCUCUGGCAAGUGCACGAGCCUCAGAUCGAACUGCCAUGUCCUUUGUUCCUCUCUGACUGCCACUUACAUUACUCAAUUGCCUCGGUGGUCUACCUCGUACUGGCACUUUACUCGGUCUGGUAUUCUGCACAGUGUUUUGCUCAGCUACCAUCGGACACUCUCGAAUGAAAUGAUCCUUUGAACCGCACUUAAAGCAAGACCGAUCAUGUAAUCUGCAAUCUCCAGGAUGCCAUUUCCCACAAUACUUGUACUCUGAUCUAUUUUGUCGAACACUACCAACGCUAGCAACUGAAGUAGCUCGUGAACUCACAGGGGGUCGAUCUCGAUCAUACUUAGGAAACCCUGCAGUAGCUUUAGAUCGGCUAUGAUCCUCUCUGGAUUUCAUUGAGGUCGACUGGAAUGAUUUACUGAAUAAUCUUUUACGAGAAUCUCGAGCUUCAUAGCCAGCUUUCCUCUUCUCUUUCCCGAGCUCCUCAACUUUACAAGGUCGUUCAACAAGUACUACGAACUCUUUUAUCUCAAGUAUACCAAAUAACAGUUUAAUAUCUUCAUCCAGCCCAUCUUCAAAUCUUUUACACAUGAUAGCUUCAGUCGAAAUACAUUCUCGAGCAUAUCUACUGAGUCUCACAAAUUUCCGCUCAUAUUCUAUCACUGUCAUACGACCCUGUUUCAAUUUAAGAAAUUACUUACGCUUCUGAUCAAUGAAUCUUUGGCUGAUGUAUUUCUUACAGAACUCAAUCUGAAAGAAUUCCCAGGUCACUCGCUCUUUCGGAACCACCGAUACUAGUGUAUUCCACCAGUGAUAUGCAGUGUCCCGUGGCAAAGAUAUGGCACAUUUCAAGUACUCAUCAGGGGUGCAAGAUAACUCAUCAAACACUCGAAUAGUAUUAUCAAGCCAGAAUUCAUCUCGCUCAGCAUCAUCAUCAUCAGUAGCUCUGAACUCUUCGACCCCGUGUUUUUGAAUUUUGUCAAUAGGAGGCUUAAGUAAUCUCAUCGGAUCACUUACUUGAGGUAUAACAGGAAUCGAAGGUGGAUUAGUCGGGGGUGGAGUUUGUUGUGCAACCGGAUUAGUUCGGACAUAUUGAGUAAACCAGUCAUUCAUCAUUUGGUAGAAGGCUUGUUUAGCCUCUCCCUCCUGGUUACUCGAGGUCGGUCGAGAAUCUACCGGCUCUGUCCCUUGUGUGGGAGCAGGCGCUAUACCCUCAACAUCAUCGACUACGGCUCGAUCGGGAUCCAUUACUAUACGAAAACACAUUUUUAGACAUCAGCAGUCAUCACACUAUCUUGGUAUAAAAAUAUGGCAUGUAUAGCUAGACUCAUACAUGCUACAUUAGUCCAAGAAUCGAUUAAACCGUAGCUCUGAUACCAAUAAAAUGUAACACCCCUAACCCGUAUCCGUCGCCGAAUUAGGGUUACGAGGCAUUACUGAACAAAUACAACCAUUUUUAAAACCAACUGAUCACAAACAUGAAAAUUAAAUCAUUUUCACAUAGCUAUUUAUAAUUUACAAUCAACAUCUAACCAACAUCGUACUCAAACCUAUACAUGCCAUAAGAUCAAGUUCAAAUAUUUAACAAAAUACCAAAAGGGGUCAAAAGUGUGAUAGACUAUGCUGAUGAUCCCCGAGCUCGUAACGCGUCUCCAAAAUCUAUAAAAACAAAUGGACAAAAACAAUCAAAGUAAGCUUUUAUAGCUUAGUAAGUCUAUAGCAUAUCUAAAAUACAUAUAAAAGAAUCAUAUAAUUCUUAAAAUAAAUUUAUUGAAAUCACAAUUAUCAAUUAUAAUUACUAAUCGAACAUUGCUAUAUUAAGUCAUCUUGUUUAAAUCUAAAAGGAUGUGUAUUUAUCUAAUACACAUGAACGGACAAAUGUAUAUACAUUAUAUGCAUAUAAUCAAUUUACUAACAUAAUCAUUAAUUGCAUAUACGGAUUUCUAUAGUACUUAUUGUUCGCACUUCAUCGGAUCCAUUUAAAUAUAAUUGUUCAAAUACAUAUACCAAAAGCAUAAUAAUUUUAUACUUGAUCAACUAUAAGUGCCGAAUGCACAUAUACACCUAUACCCACCUAUGCCGAAUGCAUACAUAUAUACACAUAUAUAUAUAUCCAACAAUUUCAUGACAACCGAUAUAUAUAUACAUACUCACUAUUCACAAGGACUCGAACGAUUAUAUACUCAUCAACCACCUUAAAACAAUGUUCAUAAACUUAUCCAUUUCAUAUAAACAAAAGCAUAUAUAUUUAUACCCAAUGCAUAGAAUCACUUAAUUUAAACAGAUUCACUGGCACUUCACCUGAUAGGCUUAUAGUUUAAUUCAGUUCACCGGCACUUAGCCUACUAGGCUUGUAGCCUGAUUCAGUUCACCGGCACUUAGCCUGCUAGACGUAUAGUCCGAUUCAAUUCACCGGCAUUUAGCCUGCUAGACGUAUAGUCCGAUUCAAUUUACCGGCACUUAGCCUGCUAGAUGUAUAGUCUGAAUAAUUUUACUGGUAAUAAAUCCGAUAGUCAUUUCUCCGUUGAAAUUGAAUUAUAUUCAAUUCUGCGUAACAAACAUGCACUUAAAACAUACUUGCAUAAUUCACAACAAUAAUUUCAGUCCAAAGAGCUGUAAUUCAUAUUCGAACUAUAUAUAUAUAAAUCCAUACAUAAAAAUUCAGCUCAAAAUUUAUAACCUAUAUCUUUGAACCACAUAGGUACAUGAAAUUCAAACAACAAAAUCCAGCUCAAUAACUUCAUGAUUCAACCUAACAAAUUUAUGUAUAUAACUUUUUAUCUAAUUUCAAUACAAUAACUUAUACAUGUACGUAUAUACAUAUUUGAAUCUAACAUAUACAUAUAUAAUUUCAUACUUAAAUAUAUUCAAGACUUAUUCAUGAGUAUACAUAUAUAUUACAACUCACAUGUACAUAUAUAUACACAUUCAUACCUUUAACCAAGUCCAAGGCUUUAUACAUGUAUAUGCUUAUAUAUAUAUAUAUUCGGACCUUAUGUUUACAUAUAUAUUAUAUAUAAAUACCUUUGAUUAAAAACAAGUAUUUAUACAUAUAUAUAUUUUCGAACAUGAUACAUACAUAUAUUUAUAUCAUUCAUACUUAAACAAAAUUCAAUCCAUAUACUUUCAAUUUCAGCUCACCAAAUUACUAUAGAUAUACAUGCAUAUAUACUGAUUUAAUAACCUCAAAUUGCUAAUAGACUUACCUCGGAUAUCAGCGGACACGAUCGACUAUUCGAUUACUUUCGUUUUUCCCCGAUCCAAAUUCGUUUUCUUCGUUUUUUUAUCUUAAUUAGACCUAGAGAUAGCCGAACCUUGUUGUUCUCUUUUCUUUUCUUUUCUUUUUCUUUUCUAUAUUCGGCCAAGAUGAAGAACAUGGCAUUUAAAAUUUGUUAUAUUAAACAUAUAUUAGCCUUAUUUUUAAUUUACUAUAUUAACCUUUACAUAUAUAUAACAUAUAUAAUAAGGUUACAUUAGUCCUUUGCCACCCACUAACUUACAUAGUGGACUAAUUGCAUAGUAAAACCUCUAAAUUAUAAAGACAACAACAAUUAGGUGCUUUUAUAAUUAACCCCUAAAUUUUCAUUUUACGCGAUUAAGCCCUUUUAUUAAAUCGGACACUUAAACAACGAAAUUAAAACACGAAAAUUUCACACAAUCAAAUGCAUACAAAAUAAUAUUAAUAAUAUUUUUCUAAUUCAAAUUUGUGGUCCCGAAACCAGUAUUCUGAUUAGGGUCAAAAACUGGGUUGUUACAACUCUCCCCCCUUAGGGAUUUUCGUCCCCGAAAAUCUUACCGGUGAAUAGGUUUGGAUAACGCUCUUUCAUUGUAUCUUCUGACUCCCAAGUUGCUUCUUCAACCCCAUGUUUAUGCCACAACACUUUAACUAACGGAAUUUUCUUAUUUCGUAAUUCUUUGAUCUCACGAGCCAGAAUGCUAAUCGGUUCUUCCUCAUAUGUCAUAUCAGAGUUAAUUUCAAUCUCCGUCGGACUAAUCACAUGUGAAGGAUCAGAUCGGUAUCCACAGAGCAUUGAAACAUGGAAUACGUUAUGAAUCUUUUCUAACUCAGGCAGUAACAUCAAUCUAUAACCAACCGAUCCAACUCGCUCUAUAAUCUCAUACGGUCCAAUGAAUCUCGGACUCAAUUUGCCUUUACGACCAAAUCUGAGUAUUUUCUUCCACGGUGAGACUUUUAAAAACACUUUAUCCCCGAUCUGAAAUUCUAUAUCCUUUCUUUUCAAAUCCGCAUAAGAUUUCUGACGAUCCGGUGCUGAUUUCAGACUGUCCCGAAUCACUUUCACUUUCUGUUCGGUCUCUUUAAUCAAAUCAACCCCGUGUAUCUUAUUUUCACUGAGCUCAGUCCAAUACAGUGGUGUACGACAUUUACGACCGUACAAAGCCUCAUAAGGUGCCAUUUUGAUACUAGAUUGAAAGCUAUUAUUAUAAGCAAAUUCAAUCAAAGGUAAGUAUCGUUCCCACGUACCUUCAAACUCGAGAAUGCAACAUCUCAACAUAUCCUCAAGUAUCUGAAUGAUUCGUUCAGAUUGACCAUCUGUCUGCGGAUGGAAAGCUGUGCUAAAAUGUAGUUUCGUACCUAAAGCUGUGCUAAAAUGCACACAAAAUAAACACACAAAAUAAUAUUAAUAAUAUUUUUCUAAUUCGGAUUUGUGGUCCCGAAACCACUAUUCCGAUUAGGGUCAAAAACCGGGUUGUUACAAUUCUGCUUCUUCUGCAUCAUCAUCUUUGGUAGCUCGAAAUUCUUCAGCCCCUUACUUCCUAAUCUUAUCAACAGGUGGUCUCUCACUGAUGACUAUACCUGCAGCUAGGGAAACUACAUGAGGAACCUGUGAAUCCUGAAGGGGUGGAGGUCUUACACCCGGAUUCAUACGAACGAACUCGGCAAACCAAUCAUUCAUGGCUUGGAAGAAGGCUUCUCUAGCUCCUCCUCCCUGUCUAACUGAUGCAGGUCUUUCACUAACGUUAACAUCUAGUGGCACCGUCCUUUCUGCGGAAGUAGGCGCAUUACUCUCUACUUCAUCUGCACCAGCUCGUUCAGGAUCCGUAACUAUAAAAUAAAAUAUUUUAAAAUCGUCAAGAGUCGUCACACUAUCAAAAUAUAUAAGUAUGGCAUGUAUAGGUAGACUUUUAUUCAUACUGCAUAUUUCUGAGAACCGAUUAAACCUGCUCUGAUACCAACAAAUGUAACACCCCUUACCCAAGACCAUUUUCGGAGUCGAGCACGAGGCAUUACUUAUCUUAUCUUACUAACUCGAAGCAUAAAAACUUAUUUUAAAAAUUAAUUUCACUAUUUACAGCAAUCUGUCCAAUCGAGCAGCAGUUACUAAAUUAAUAAUAACUCGAGCUACGGAACUUGAAAUUUAACUUCGUAAAUUUUCACUGAAACUAGACUCAUAUAUCUUCCUACCAUAAAGUUUUUAGGAUUUUUUGUUUAGCCAACUAGUACAGUUUAUUAGUCAAAUUCUCCCCUGUUUCACCAAUCGAUUGCCUUGACCUCUUAUCACUAAAAAUAAAAUUUCUCAAUGUGGGAUUUUCGUAUAGUGCUACUGCUUGCUUCUACAAAAAAUAGACUCAAUAAGGAAUCUAUAAAUAUAAACUACAGCUCCUAAAUAUUUUUUUAAAAAUUUUAAUGAUUUUCUAAACUCAAAAUAGGGGUCACCAAAAACUGUUCUAACCCUGUCUCACCAAAAUUCACAUAUCUUAAAAUAUAAAAUUCAUUUUGCUACACCGUUAUUUUUAUCUGAAAAUAGACUCAACAAGAUUUAAAUUCAUAUAUCAUUCACUCUUUAAUUCAUUUUAUACUAUCCUAGGUGAUAUUUCAAAGUCACGUCGUUGUUGCUGCCUGAAUUCUGUUUCUUUGCAAAAUUGUACCAUUUUAUGAUUUCCAUGCAUAGUUUAUCACUUACACUCUUAUAACAACAAACACUUCCAUACUUCACCAUUUUAGCAACCAUUCAUCAUCAACUACUUACAUAUCAUUCUUUAUCAAGAUCAUAAAUACAAACAUUUAAAAUAACUAAAUCCCUAUACAUUCCAUACUCAACAUGGUUCAACAUAAAAAUACCGAGUUGCUGUGGCUGAUAGUGUGGACGAUCUCCGACUUCUUUAGGAUCCUUGAAGUAACCUUGCAAUACUAUAAGAGAAAGAGAAAUAAAAGACGUAAGCAUAAAGCUUAGUAAGUUUACUAGCAAAUAAAUAACAAUAUUUAACUCAGAUAAUUAAACUCAAGUGUCUAUAUCUCUAGUUUACUCUUUAGUUAAUCCCAUUCUAGUUCUCUUGCUUGUUUACUUAGUAUACUUGUGUGCAUAACUUAAUCUUCUCUUGCUGUAUCGUUGAAUAUCAAUUGAUAAUAUAAUAAGUUCUUAACUCUUAUAACUUACCUGAACUUGCCAUUUAUGUUUUUAACUGAACUUUCCUGAACAUGAUUCGUUAUUUAGCCCGUUGAGCUACAUUGGAACAAUAAGGAUACUCGGGUCUCUUCUGAUAAUAACAUGCCAAAGCCAUGUCCCAGACAUGGUCUUACAUGGGAUGUACUCAUGUCGGUGCCCAUUCCAUGUCCCAGACAUGGUCUUACGGGGGACCUCUCAUCUCGGUGCCAAUGUCAUGUCUCAGACAUGGUCUUACAUGGGACCUCUCAUCUCGGUGCCAACACCAUGUCCCAGACAUUGUCUUACAUGGGACCUCUCAUUUCGGUGCCAACGCCAUGUCCCAGACAUGGUCUUACAUGGGACCUCUUUAUCCAAAUGUCAUGACAUUCGUAUCCAGUAUUAUCCUUAUGUAUCAACGGGACUUUUUAAUUUUAAUUCUCUAUCAUUUCAUGCUUGGAUAAUCAUCAAAUAAAUUCAUGAAAUAAAUUCAUAGUUGCUGGAAAAUAGCAGCAUUAAUAAAAAUUAUUGAAAUAUUUCAUUUAUUUACCGUAAACUUACCUUGGUACCGAAUAUAGCCCAAUUCACCAACUUAGUCUUCAACUUUAUUCUUUCCUUUGUCUAACCUCGAGUUUCAUUCUUCUUGAUCUAAAAUAGAAAAUUUAACUUAUUUAAUACUCACAUUCAUCAAAACAGCCCUCGACUCUAACUUUUCAAAAUUAUGAUUUUGCCCCUAAACUUUUACAUAAUUACAUUUUUCCCCAAGGCUCGAAAAUUCAACUUCAUCUCAUAUUCUUAUGUUUUAUGGCAUGCUGAAUAUUUUUCUCUUCUAUGACAAUAUCAAAUUCUCACUCUAACACUUACUUAUGUACAUUAGAGAUUUUUACCGAUUAUGUCAACUUACUCGUUUUUGCUUAAAAUCGGCUAACAAAAGUUGUUUAACAUAAUUUAUAGCUUCAUAUUCUAUCAUAAAACAUCAAAAUAAACACUUUUCACCUAUGGGUAUUUUUCCAAAUAUAAACCCUAGGUUAAAUUAUUGCUAGAAUAAGCUAAAUUAAGUUACCGGGACUCCAAAAACGUAAGGAACAUUAAAAACGGGGCUUGGGAUCACUUACUAUGGAGCUUGGAAGCUUGAAAACCCUAAAUAUGGCUUACCCCCUUGCUGAUUUCGUCCAAAUGAAGAAGAUGAGCAUAAUUUGUCAUCUUUUUCCCUUUUAAUUCAUUUUAAUUACUAGAUUACCAAAUUGCCCCUAACUUAAAAAUUUCCUAUUUCACUUAUCUCAUGUCCAUUUUUGUCUAAAAACUUAACCAAUGGUCUAAUUACCAUAUAAAGACCUCCAAUUUAAAGUUUCAUAACAAUUGGACACCUCUAACAUGUAGAACUCAACUUUUGCACUUUUUGCAAUUUAGUACUUUUGACUAAAUUGAGUGCCCAAACUUCAAAAUUUUCGAAUAAAAUUUUCAUGAAAUCAUUUUGUGAAAUCAUAGACCAUAAAAAUAUAAGAAAAAUAAAAUUUUCCUCAUCGGAUUUGUGAUCCCGAAACCACUGUUCCGAUAAUCUUAAAUUUGGGCCAUUACAUGAUCACCUUUUUACUAGCUCAUACAUCUCCUACAUCAGACCUUACAUGCAUGCUUACCAAACUUUAUUCUUUUUAACAAAACUUUAUACAUAUCAUCGUAGCACAUCUUUCAUCUUUACUAAACUCAUAUUUUUACCAAUUUCUGUAGACAUCAUCAUCAUCAUCCUAUAUAUAUGCUUCUUGUUUGAACAGUUCAUAUCAAAGAGUCAAGAUAGAGACCCACUUGACACUCACCUACUGCAGUUCAAAGCUCUAAACUUAACCAUCCUUCUCAAACCAGCAGUAAAAACUGCUUAUAGAACAUAGAAUCACCAUUAAAAACCCAUUUACAUACAAAUUACUAUCAUCUUAAUCACUUUUCCACUGUUAAUUUAUAAAUAAGUGUUAAGUAGUAAAUAAAUAAAAAAAUUAACUAAGUUUUCAAAAAAAAAGUCACUGUGACGAGAAGAAUGUUAAAAUUAAUUGGUGUUUGUUAACUCAUAUGUUUUUCUAAAAAUGGGUUAAGUUUUCUUCUGAAAUAAACAAAUGUUUUAAAAUGAUUGUUUUAUAAACUCCGAUCGUACUAUCCCAUCUUGGUGGCUGAUGUAAUAUCCCAAAUUCAGGUCUAACAUCUAAGUCGGGUUGGAUAGGUUACAAUAUAUAUAGAAAGAUUGAUAAAUAAUGCAAACUUGAAUACAAGCAAAGAAAGAAAUCAAUCAAUGUGAAUGACUAACAAGUUUAAAAUCAUAUAUUUGCAUUAUAUUUUGUAAAGCACAAGAUUGUCAUGGAAUUAGACAAUUUGUUUUGAUAAUGGUUAUAUUUUAUAUAGAUUUACUUUUAUGCACUUUCAUAUUGAGUUGAUCAAAAGUUUUGAAACUUUAUAGAAAAUUUGAAUGAAAGAGCAUAUUGAUAUAUAUGCUAUCUUGAGUGUUGAAUUAAGCAUUCUUUAGUAAAAGAGUGUACAUUUCGCACAUGGUAGGUGUGUUGGUUUCUUAUAUAUUAAUUAAGCACAAAUUAAAGAAAAAUAAUAUAUAUCACCAUAGUGUUGUAAUAUUUUGUAUAAUUUGUGAAAUUAUACAAGCAAAUAAGUUUACCUAUCUUGUUAAAUAAAACUCAUUAAGUUGGUUCUUAAUCUUGAAGAAUUAAAUAGGUUGGCUUCUUUAUUCAUUUUAUCCAACUACAAGUUAGAUUAAAGUUGUGGAAAUAGAAUGGUUGAAAAUUUGUGUUAAUGAGAAUUAGAGUUAUGGCCACAACUGAUGCCAACUAUUUCCUAAAAACAGGGAAUGAUGUCCAAAAACAUGCUGUAAAAUAAAAAUUUGGACAUGUUAGAAUAUGAAUUUAUUAUAUUAUAGUUUCAAUGUAAUACCCUUAUCCCAUCUCUGUUGCCGGAUUAGGAUUUCAGAGUAUUACUGAGAAAAAUAGAACAUUUAACUUUCCAACAGAAACAAUUGUACAAUUAAAUACCAACAUAUAACAAUUGAAUCUAAUCAUGGCAAAUAUUACACUUUUGGACCUUGAAUCGAGCCUAUGGGGCCCUAGAAACAGUUUAGGAACAAUCUGGGAUCAAAUCAAAACAAAUCAGAACAUUUUGAAAAAACAUAAAAAUUUAGGAAUACAGAGGUCACAGGCCAUAUGGCCAAGUCGUGUGACAUAGCCUAGAUUGUGUAAACAUCCGAAGUCAGGACACAUAGCUGUGUCCCAGCCUGUGUGUCUACUCAUGUGUAUAUUUGAAAUAGGGUCACACAGUCGUGUUGCAGACUGCCAAACGUGUGUGUAUUCAAAGUGAGGUCGCAAGACCAUGUGGCCGACCGUGCCACAAACUGUUUUGAGACACAAGGUCAUGUCUCAGACCGUGUAAAACAUGCACUUAAAAUAAUAAAUACACACGACCGUAUCUAGUGACUAUGUGUGGCACAUGGUCGUGUGGUAGCUUGUGUCUCAGGUCGUGUGCUCCAUUUUUAACCCCUAAAUCAAGCCAAUCAAGCAUCAUUUCUUAUACAACAAGACAUACCAUAUCUAACUAAUUUUACAUGGUUAAAAACACAUUCAAAUCAACAAAUACAUGCCAAAAUUUCGUUCAUCCUAUGUCUAACCAAUAUGCCAUCAAAAGGCACCUCAAUCCAUACAUCCAUUCAACUCAAGAACAAAGUUACAAUAAAUGAACAAGUUUUAUCAUUAGUUAACCAUUCAUGCCUAAAACCACUAAUCUAAUUGACCAAAAUAUGGGCAUACUCAACAAGCAACCAUUUCAAAACAUCAUCAUCAAAUCUUUAUAUACCAUUUAUGAUCAACUUAAUUAUAUUCAACACAAGUACACAUCCAAAAUCAAGCACAUCACUAAGUAUGCCAAAAUAACUUAACUAUUUACAUAUCAACAAUAAGACACCAUAUCCCAAAAUGAAAUAAAAAAGCUACCAAGAUGGUUGGAUAGUGUGUGCUCCAAAACAAUUCAUCCGGUUAGUCCACAAAACGCCAAAUCAACCAAUAUAGAUAAACAAAAAGGUAAGUUCUAAUUCUUGAUAUUCAAAUGCAAGAUCACACCACAUUAGUAUAUAUUUAUUUACAUCAUAAAUGAUACCUUCCAAAAUUCAUAACCAAUUCAUCAUCCACAAUUUCUCAAUACAACCAUUAAUAUUUAUAAACAAGAACUUCAUAGUAACAUUUAUCAUUUAGUAGUAAUAUAAUUAUCCAACAAAAUUGAACAAAUAAAUGCGUUUUAAGUCAUUUGAUACAUAGCCUGCUGAACUAUAGUAACUUGACUCGGAUACUCAUGAUACUACAUCACACCAAAGGUAUCAAUGAUGCAUAACAGAGGCACCGAAGUGCAGACAAAUGCAUGAAUGUGCAAUCAGAGGCACCGAAGUGAAAACAGAUGCACCAAAGUACAAACCCGUACGAGUGCGCAUUAAAACCCUAUUGGCAUGCUAAUCGUAUCCUAAUUGUUUACUACGUUCAACUGGGCAUUAUACUUAAAAUCAUAAUAUCAAUAAAUCCAUCAUUUAGAGGCACUUCUUAUUUCCGUACACAUACUAUAAAUAUGUAACUUUCAUUUCAAUAAUAUGCAAUAACAAUAAUUACCAUCAUCAAACAUUCAUUUUCUAUUUGUACUUAAUUGCAAAAUUUAAUAAUAUAUAAGUAACUCAUGAAAUUUCACAUAUAUACCAUUAACUAGAAAACAAUAAUAUAAUCAUAAAGUGACACACAUAUACAUAUUAUUACACUAUGAACUUACCUAAAAUCUACUUUCGAUUAAUACACAGGGACUACUCCGCUAUUUUUUCCCUUUUCUCGGUUAUUGUCUUUUUGACUCGGUUCUUGAUCUAUAUAGUAAUUAAAUUCAAUUUAUGAAAUUCACAUACAUUUAAAACUCAAUUCAAUGCAUGAUACCCUUAUGUUUUCAUUAUUUUCACAUUUUUCUUAAACUUUUACAUUUCUCACAAUUUAGUCCCUACAAAAUUUAACAAAAUUUUACAAUUUUCCAUGUUAGUUGAACUUCUUUCGAAACUAGUACAAUCCCUAAUUAUUCACAAUUCACAAAAUUUCUAUGCAAAUUUUAAUAAUUCACACAUUGAUCAUUAAACUCAAAAUUAACACAAAUUUUUUUACAAAAAUAUCCUAAUCAACAUUCAAAUAUGUACAACUACCAUUAAAAAUCAUGAACACCAAAAUUCCAUUACUAACCAAUCCCUAAAACUUUAACAUUUUUAUAAUUCCAUCCUCGGGUUUAAUAGUUUAAGUUACAACGAGUUCAAAAACGUAAAAAUUAUUAAAAACAGGUAAGAGAAACACUUACAUGCACCAAUUUGCUAACCGAAACUUCAAGCUCCAAAAAUGGAGUUUUUUUUUUCUUUUUCGGUGGGAGAGAGUUGAGAAGAUGAUGAUACCAUUUUUUUCUUUUGUUUCUUUUCUUUAAUCAAACUAAUUACUAAAUUAUCCUUUUAAUCUAAACUAAAUUAUUAACAUAGCAUGUCCGUAAUUAUCCAUUAACUAACCAUAAGGUUUAUCUAUCAACCAAGUCCAUUACUUUAGUUUUUCUUUAAAAAUCAAGCACAUUUAACAAAUAGAAGCCACUUUAGCAUCUUUUACAAUUUAGACCUUUUUACUAAAUUAACUAAACAGACAUUAAAAUUUCUUAGCCAAAUUUUAUUAUGACUCCAAUAUAACUCUAUAAGCAUAAAAUAAACAUAAAAUACUAACUCAUUUGUCGAAAUUGUGGUCCUGAAACCACCUUUUUUGAUACCACUGAAAAAUGAGAUAUUACAUUAAAUCUCUAAUUUAUGAUAAUGAAUGUGAGAGAAUAAUUUUCUUUGUUUAGAAAUACUAAUCAUUUUCUUUGUUUAGUAAUACUACAACUAGAAUGUGUUUCGACCCUAUUAUUAGAAACUAAUAAUGGAAACCCAACUUUUAAUUAGAAACCUCUAAUUUUAAAGUUUAAUAGGUAACACCCCGAAUUUUGGCCCUAGAAGAAAUAUGUUUUGAACAAGGGAACAGUUAGGAGACUGCACAUAAAUAUUUAGUUGUGCAAGGAAGUGACAUAAAUGAAUGUCUACUUCAGUGGUUGAGUGAUUUAGGAGUGUUUGGAACUGUCUGAGAAGUCAGGGAUUCAAGCAUUGCUUAUGCAAAAUUUUUAUUUUAAGUGAAUAAAAUCAUUGGAUCUAGAUAGUAAGUUCUUAAAUUAUUGUGGUUAAAAUAUGAUGCAAAAGAGUUGUUGGUCUAGUGGUAAGGGGUGUGUGGAGUGCACAUAGGGCCUAAGGUUCGAGUGGUGGCGCAUCAGAAAGGAAAUAUUUAUUUUGCUACUUGAGCUGUUUAGGUAGUGGAGUUGGACUGAAACACAACUAAGGGGAGUUUGCAUAGAAUUUGAAUGGAGUUGUUGGGGGAGUUGAGGAGAAACCGGUAGAAUAAUUUAAGGAGGGAUAAGGGGAGAGAUUUUAGGAGAAAAUCAAGGGAAGUGAGGGGAGUGAAGAAGUGUGCCGAAAGUGGACUUUGAUACUCAGGAAAUUUGGCCAGAAGGGAUACUGCUCAUUUUGGUAUACUUUUCAUUUCGGUUUUGUGUAGUGUUUCUCUCUCUUUUUGCUUUUUGGUGCCGAAUUUUUGCUAAGAUUUCGAGUACCACUCGGGUUUUUCUUUUGCUGCUUUUUUCUUUUAUCAUUUCUUUUGUUUUGGCCGAAUUUCUUUUUAGUUCCCUCCUUUGUCGAAUUCUUUUCUCUCUUCUCUUUGUUGCUUCUUUUCAUUUCUCUAUUUUUCCAAACCUUGACCGAACAGUGUUGAAGUAGUUCUGUGUUCCAUCUUUUGUCUAAAAUGCUCUUCUUCCUCUACUCCUUUUGAUCAACUAUUUGUCGAAUAUUGCCUUCUCUCCCCUUUUAUCUCUUUAAAUUUAUUUUCGGCUUGACAACAAUUCUCUAACAGUUCAAAUUUCUUGAGGAGUGAAAAAGUAUCGCAUAAUAUUAAAGUCAUCGAAACCUUUCUCUCAUCACUCGAUCAAAGGUAAGUAUGUAGGCUAGCAUUCUAAAGUGUAGGCUGAGUGCUUUCUAUGGUUUCAUAAGUUAUUAUGUUUGGAUUUAAACCACAUGAAUAAACAAUCCUAUUUAAUAAAAUCCGUUUGUAAUGCAGAUAUCCAUCAAAGAGAUUGUAGUCAACCUUCGUCAGUGAUAUAAGUAGGCUAAGUCACAUUUGACAAUCGAGGCUUUGGUGCUCGUGGAUCUUAGAGUGUUUUCACAAUCAGGUGUGUAAACACCCCACUGUAACCGUAGAACGACAAAAAGCUAAAAGGCCAAAAAUACGGUGUUUGAGACCACACAGGCGUGCGAUCUCUCAUGUGGUAAGCCCAACCCACAAAUCAUGGCCGAUAGACUGUAGAGGCCUCCAUGAACAUUUCCAUGGGCUUAGGCCGUAAUGGGCCACGUUGGGCCGAAAUGGGUCGUGUGGGUUCAAUAGGCUCGUGGGCACCAUACAGAUGAGAACCACGAUUUGUGAAAAAUACUGGACUGGGCUAUGAAGAUCUCAUAGCCGUGGAAAAAUCUGGGCUGAACAGGCCGCACAAGCGUGCGGGCCUACUUGGGCCGAGUAAUGGGCCUUAGGCCCAUUUGUACCAUUAUGACCAUUUAGGUUACCUGAGUCGCUCGAGGUAACUACGGACCUUUCGAGAGGUCGAUAUCUGCACCAAGACCCAAAAUAGGUAAAAUGAUCGAAAUACCCCUAUAGAGUAAAAUGACCGAAAUACCCCCAAAGGAUAAAAUGAUUGAAAUACCCCUAUAAGGUAAAACGAUCGAAAUACCCCCGUAGGAUAAAAUAACUAUUAUACCCCUAGAAGAUGAAAUGACUGUUAUGGCCUUAUGCUAUGUAUGACUGUUUUGCUCUAUGAUAUGUAUGACUAUGGUUGAGCAUGACAUUUUUCAUACACGUAUGAUAUUAUGUCAUGAUAUAUUGCAUGGGGAUGGAUUGUUAUAUUUGGAGGAAGUGUACUGUACUGACAAGGUUGCACGGGUCGCCCAAGACGACUGUGGACCUACUGAUGGCUAUAUGCCAUUUAUUUUACUGGCAGCUUUGCUGCAAUACUGUUUAAUGCUGCAACUGGUGCUAAUCUUGGUGUGUUUGGAUGGAUGGGUAGAUUUUAUCCCCCAUAUGGUGUGUUUGGCGGAACUGUAACACCCUUAACCUGAAUCCAUUCUGACAUUGUCUCACAAAAUUUAUUAUAUCUCAUAGUUUACAAUUUUAUUACUUACACCAUUUCUUCCAUGAGAAACUAGACUCAAUAAGUUUUAAUUCUAUAUUUUAUUCAUACUCUAAUUCGAUUUUCAUAAUUUAUGGUGAUUUUUCAAAGUGAGCCUACUGUUGUUGUCCAAAACUAUUUUAGUACAAGAUGUUUAUUACCAUGUUUAUAACACCCUUAUUUUCUUUCUCUACACUAUUUCUCAUCCCUUUCUCUUAUUUUCUCUUCACUUACAUAUUAAGAACAUAGGACCAUAUAUACAAAAAAACUUUACACUAACAUCAUUUCCAUACUUUUUCAAUAAUAUCAAACUUAAAAAUAUACUAAAAUCUUGAUGUACUUACCUUGUCAUAUUGAUUUUAAUCUUUAACUUGAUUUUCUCUCUCCUCCAGCUUCUAUUUCUUGAAUCUAACUUGAUAUUAUAGCUCCCCAUAGUCUCCUUGUAAUCUUUCUCUCUUGAUGGAUAUGGAAAUUCUUUUGAUUUCUAGAUGAAAAUAGUGAAUUUUUGGUGAAAGGACUAAAUUGUAAAGAAAGCAAAACUUUCUUUCUUCUCUUCUCCUCUUAACGUGAAUUGCAUGGAAAAGAUGGUGGGUUGGUUCCUUUUCAUCUUUCUUUCCACAUAUAUAUACUAAAUAAUAAAAUAAUAAAAUAUCAUUUAAAAAUCAAAUUAAAAUACUAAUAAACUAAUAUUUAUUUGUUUAUUUAAUCUAAAAUAUCUCCAACAUCAUCAUUAUCUUCUAGAUUUCUCUCUCUUCUAAUUGACCAUUUUGCCCUUCAUGAUAUUUUAAAAUUCCAUCCUUGAGUCAUCACUUAAUUUCGUAAAAUUUCAAUUUAGUCCCUCAAAAUUCCUCACCUUUUUUCAAUUUAGUCCUAAUACAUCCAUUUUCCUUAGUUUCUAGAUCAUUCCACCCUUAAAAUAUUUACACCAUUGGUCCUUCAAUUUUUUCAUAUUUACACUUUAACCCCUCAAUUUUUGAGUAUUUACUCUUGGGCAACAAAAUUUUUACGAUUUAAUCCUUUCUUGAGGUAAUAUGUCAUAAUAUACUUCCCAAUGUUGACAUAACUCCAAAAUUCCCUUUUUUGUCGCUUUAUUUCCUUAUUUUUUUAUAUCAAAGAUAAUAUCUUACUGUAAAAAUUUUUUUGGGGGGUAUUACAUUUCUCUCCCCCUCAAAAUAAAUUUCGUCCUCGAAAUUUCCUUAUUUUCUUUUGAUCAUGAACUUAUUUUUUCUUUAAUUCUAUAGUUCAUUUUUUUUGCAUAUAUUUACUUAGCUUAUCAUUUGUGUCUAUUCUUUAUUCUUUCAUUUCACAAUUUAUUUUUAAUUUAAUAUUUCAAACAUGAAUCAGAGAUAAACUUUUACCUUGUAACUAAAAUUAUUUACCUUUUUACCUGAGGCCCAGUGGACUAAAUAGAACACGUAGGAUAUAUGAAAUUGAUACAGAAGUGCUCUGUUAUACAUCAUUAAACAGAGAGCACUAAAGUGUUAUACGGGAGCAUAAAUGUGCUAAUAAUUGGAGAGCACUAGCGUGCUAUUAAUCAGAGAGUGCGCUAAGGUUCCUUAAUGAUAUACUACUAAUAUCCUAAUAGUUCUAAUCUCAUCUACUUGGGCAAAUUAUAUCAUGCAUGCAUACGACUUUUACACUUUGCGCAUAAUGCUUUUACAUACUUUACAAUUUAAACCUUGUACCAAUGAUUCGUAUAUUUAUACCUUCUCUACCUUUAAUACAUGUAAUAUAUUUCAAAAUUCACUAAUAAUCCAUAUAUAUCAUGUACUUCAUAUAUCAUUUUUACAUAUUAUGCAAUUUAGUCAUCAGCGCAAUAUUUCUUGUAGCAAUAUGUUUUUCUUUUAAUGACACAUAUAACAUUCAUCAUCGACAUGUAUUAUAAAACAUUUAUUCAUACUUUCAUGAGUUCCAAUUCAUCCUAAUCAAUUUUUUUUACUCAUAUACUUGAGUAUCACUUUCAACAUUAUCAGAAUUAGCUCGGUUAGGAAAACAUCUCUGUUUAUAAGUAAAACAAUUCUCAUCAGACUCGAGAGAUAUCACACUAUCACAGGUUACAUAAUGGCAUGCAUUUCUAGACUUCACAUAAGCUACGUUUGGUCCAAGAACCGACUAAAUCGUAGCUCUGAUACCAAUAAAUGUAACACUCUUAACCCGAAUCCAUUCUGACAUUGUCUCACAAAAUUUAUUAUAUCUCAUAGUUUACAAUUCUAUUACUUACACCAUUUCUUCCAUGAGAAACUAGACUCAAUAAGCUUUAAUUCUAUAUUUUAUUCAUACUCUAAUUCGAUUUUCAUAAUUUAUGGUGAUUUUUCAAAGUGAGCCUACUGUUGCUGUCCAAAACUAUUUUAGUACAAGAUGUUUAUUACCAUGUUUAUAACACCCUUAUUUUCUUUCGCUACACUAUUUCUCAUCCCUUUCUCUUAUUUUCUGUUCACUAACGUAUUAAGAACAUAGGACCAUAUAUACAAAAACUUUACAUUAACAUCAUUUCCAUACUUUUUCAAUAAUAUCAAACUUAAAAAUAUACUAAAAUCUUGAUGUACUUACCUUGUCAUAUUGAUUUCAAUCUUUAACUUGAUUUUCUCUCUCCUCCAGCUUCUAUUUCUUGAAUCUAACUUGAUAUUAUAGCUCCCCAUAGUCUCCUUGUAAUCUUUCUCUCUUGAUGGAUAUGGAAAUUCUUUUGAUUUCUAGAUGAAAAUAGUGAAUUUUUGGUGGAAGGACUAAAUUGUAAAGAAAGCAAAACUUUCUUUCUUUUCUCCUCUUAACGUGAAUUGCAUGGAAAAGAUGGUAGGUUGGUUCCUUUUCAUCUUUCUUUCCACAUAUAUAUACUAAAUAAUAAAAUAAUAAAAUAUCAUUUAAAAAUCAAAUUAAAAUACUAAUAAACUAAUAUUUAUUUAUUUAUUUAAUCUAAAAUAUCUCCAACAUCAUCAUUAUCUUCUAGAUUUCUCUCUCUUCUAAUUGACCAUUUUGCCCUUCAUGAUAUUUUAAAAUUCCAUCCUUGAGUCAUCACUUAAUUUCGUAAAAUUGCAAUUUAGUCCCUCAAAAUUCUUCACCUUUUUUCAAUUUAGUCCUAAUACAUCCAUUUUCCUUAGUUUCUAUAUCAUCCCACCCUUAAAGUAUUUACACCAUUGGUCCUUCAACUUUUUCAUAUUUACACUUUAACCCCUCAAUUUUUGAGUAUUUACUCUUGGGCAACAAAAUUUUUACGAUUUAAUCAUUUCUUGAGGUAAUAUGUCAUAAUAUACUUCCCAAUGUUGACAUAACUCCAAAAUUUCCCUUUUUGUCGCUUUAUUUCCUUAUUUUUUUAUAUCAAAGAUAAUAUCUUAGUGUAAAAAAAAAUUUUUUGGGUAUUACAGGAACAGAGUGGUGUGUAGAGGCUGGAUUGGGUAGGAUUUCUAACUGCAUAUCUACACUAAUUAAUGAUUUUGUAUUGUUACUACAUCGAUUAAUGAUAUUACAUACUGUUUACUGCAUGACUGAUAUUUGUUGCUGUUAUGGGCCAAGGCCCCACUGAUACUAUUACUGAAAUUGGGCAAAUGCCCUAUUGAUUAUUGGUAUUGUGAUGGGCUCAAGCCCAAUCGUUUAAUGUUACGGGAAAGGGCUUAGGCCCACACUGAACUGGACUGUUACUAUAACAGGCUCAGGCCCAAACUGUAUUUAUCUAUUGUUUAAUUGACUACUUACUUGUUAGGGGAUUGCACACUGAGUUUUCGUAAACUCAACCCGUUGUUUAACUGUACAGGUAAUCCCUAGUUGUAGUAGGGUCAGUGCUGCGAGGGACUCGAUGAUGGCCACACAACUGCAUCAGCUUUUGUUUUUAGCCUUUGAUUUAUAAGAAACUGAAUUUGGGUAUUUUUAUGUAAAAAGGCCUCUUUAAAGUUAUAAACUUUAAAUUGGGGUUUUUAUUUAUUUAGUUUGAUAUAAACUACUAGUUGUAGAAAAAGACGGGUUUUCAAAAGGUAAAUGUUUUCAAAGUUUCAAAAGGUAAAUGUUUUCAAAGACACCACGUUUUCGCAACAUUUCUAAAAAAAAACUUCCGCAAUGAAUGAGAUUUUGGAAAAUUUAUAACGUUUUAAAAGUGAUUAGCUUUUAAUGAUGCAUGCUUGGAAAUGAACAACCCGUUUUGGAAUCAUAGUUUAACAGCAAAAUGAUUAAUUGAUUUUAAAGAUUUCAACGACAACAAGUUUUACGCUAAACACCUUAAAGUGACACCGCCAGAUUCAACCAUAACUCCUAGGCCGGGUUUGGGGUGUUACAAUGUGUUUCAACCCUAUUAUUAGAAACUGAUACCCUAUUAUUAGAAACUGAUAAUGGAAACACAACUUUUAAUUAGAAACCUCUAAUUUUAAAAUUCAAUAGGUAAAAGCAAGUUAUCGUUAAGUGCCUGUGAUACGCUAGUAAAACUCAUUCUAGAAAAAAAAGUUUAAUGGAAACAAUUGUUAUCCAUUGCGUAUAGAGGAUGAAUUUGAAUACUAUUAAUUAAGUUCAUUGUUUAUUGUUUAAAUGUCUAAAGUAAGGGAGACAUUAAAAGAACUCUACCUUUAUAAACAUAAGAAGUGGUGCCACUUCAACAAGUAAAGGUAGGGUCUCUCUUGUAAAUGUUUAUUAUGAACAAGAUAAGCACAUGAUCAUUUUAGUGCUAAAAGUGAACAACCUCUGAUAGAAAUAUAAACGAAUAUUAUGUAUAGUGUAUUUCAACUUCUAAUACUAGGAGUUGUGGUUCAAUCUUCGGACACCGACAACUUAUUAAAACUUUGAAAAGCAUCCGCUUAUUGAUGGUUCAUAUUGAGAGGUAUCAUCUUUAAUGCAUAAUAUUUGUUUGAGUGAAUGACCAUAAAGUAUGGUACCAACAUUUAAACUAAGGGUGAUUGUUAGUAGUUUAUAAUUUUGGCAGUAAAAAUAUUUUAUUAUGUAGAAAAGUCUAAUAAAUUAUAAUUAUUGGUCAAAUAGUUGUGUUGUAAAGACAAUUUUUGUAUGUAAAGUUGUCUUAUAAACUUUAUGUAAAGUUGUGUUGUAAAACAACAAAAUUAUAUGAAAAUGUAUCUUAUUAAAAGAUACAUCCAUAUGAAAGGGUAUCUCAUGAAAAGAUACACCUAUUAGAUGUCUAUAUAAAAGAUUUUUCUGUUAGUUAUUUAAAUUGUUUUGCUUGGAGUGUUGAGGGCUUUGUUGUAUCUUGAAGGUAUUUUAAAAUCUUAAAGAAAGUGCUCUACACACCUUAAAGUCAUUAUAUUUUAUAACAUUAUUUUAUUUUUCUAACUUUUAUUUUCCUAUUAUUUAUUUUUCUAACAGCUAGAAUAUAGGAAAAUUAUUAUGUUUCUAGCUAUAUAUUGAAUACAAGUAUGUUGGUGUUUAGAACUCGAACUUUGAUGGUUGAUCGAGAGAUUUGAAGCAGAAAGAAGAGACGGGAAGUUUUAAGUAGAAAAAUAAUUGAAGACUGGAAUAUAUAAUUGAUUUGCACCUCAACUAUUUAAAUACAAAAGUUCAAGCUAAAAAUAGAAAAAAAAAGUUCUAAAAAUCUGCUAAAAAUCUGGUAACAAAAUAGCAAACAAAUCAAAAAUCUAAUCUCCUAAAGUCAAGGAGAAUUAUUCAAACUUAGUAACAGAAAAAAUUUAAAUGGCAGCAAUCUUAAACACAUGAUCUUAACACUCCUCCUUGUUUAGAUGCUACAAACUCCAAGUUUCUUCCUGAAGCUUUCAAACUUGCUAAGUGGCAAUGGUUUGGUGAAGAUAUCUGCAAUUUGAUCUUCAGAUUUGUAGUAACAAAGAGACACAUCACCACUCUUUUAAACUUCUCGAACAAAAAAUAACUUGAUGUUAAAAUGCUUAGUCUUCCCAUGAAAGACUGGAUUGUUAGAGAUUGCAAUGGCAGCCUGGUUAUCAACUAGAAUCUUUGUGCUUUGCUUCUACUCCAUGUUUAGAUCAACAAGAAUCUUCCUUAACCAGAGAGCUUGGUUAACUGUUGCUGUUGCAGCCAUAAAUUCUGCCUCAACAGUGGAUUGAGCUACAGUUUCUUGCUUCUUCGAGCUCCAAGAGAACAUGCCUGAUCCAAGGCAAAAACAAUAACCAGAGGUACUCUUCAUAUCAUCAGUUAAGCCACCCCAAUCACUGUUAGAGAAACCAAUCAACUUCAAUUCCCUAUGCUUUAAAAACUUUACUCCAUAAUUCCAGGUCCCCUUGAUGUAUCUGAUAACUCUUUUUGCAGCUCUCAUGUGAGUCUCAUUGGGACAAUGCAUGAAUCUGGAGAGAAUACUUACAGCAUUCAAGAUGUCGAGUCUGGUUGUUGUUAAGUACAUUAGACAACCUACCAAACUCCUGAACUCAGCUUCAAUGACUUUGGCAGAACCAUCAUCUUUGAUUAGCUUCUCUUUUUGAUUCAUAGGAGUACUCAUUGCUUUGCAAUCUUCCAUAUGGAAUUUUCUAAGUAUCUCCUUUGCAUACUUUCUUUGACAGAUGAACACUUCAUCUUGGCUUUAUUUGAUCUCAAUGCCAAGGAAAUAAGACAUCAGAUCAAGGUCUGUCAUUUCGAAGACAUUAUGCAUUUCCAAUUUAAACUGAUUAACUUGAUCGAUAUUGCUCCUUGUAAUCAAUAAGUACAAAUAAGCAAGCUUUUUCCUUUGAUUUCCUUAUCUUCUUUUCUUUUUGUGCUUUAAUCUGUGCCACAGUAGGAUUUGCUGGAAGAGGUGGGACCUCGUAAUCCUCUUCUACAGGUUCCCAAAGAUCCAAAGCCUCUAUGUAAGUCUCCAUGCGAACUGCCUACAUCUGGUAAUUGUCUCCAUCGAAGACUGGUGGUGCAGCAACUGAAAAACUGGACCCUCCUUCCAUAUUAACACGCAAAUAACCUAACAAAUCCCUCAAGAAAAUAGCUCUGAUACCAAUUUGUUGGUGUUUAGAACUCGAACUUUGAUGGUUGAUCGAGAGAUUUGAAGCAGAAAGAAGAGACGGGAAGUUUUAAGUAGAAAAAUAAUUGAAGACUGGAAUAUAUAAUUGAUUUGCACCUCAACUAUUUAAAUACAAAAGUUCAAGCUAAAAAUAGAAAAAAAAUGUUUUAAAAAUCUGCUAAAAAUCUGGUAACAAAAUAGCAAACAAAUAAAAAAUCUAAUCUCCUAAAAUCAAGAAGAAUUAUUCAAACUUAGUAACAGAAAAAAUUUAAAUGGCAGCAAUCUUAAACCCAUGAUCUUAACAAAGUACUACUUGGAAGCCAACACCCACAAACAUGAUAAAAGUUAAUUUUGAUGAGAGUUUUGACAUGGAAGCAAGAAAUGAGGAAGAGGGUAGUUAUGCAGCAUUGUGAUGAUUUUUUAGUCUGACUAUGCAACCAUCCAAUUUAGGGUGCAUUCUCCAUUGUGGUGAAAAAGCACUUAAAGAACAUUUGGUUUUUGCACUUAAAAUGUGAUGGAAAAAUGUUUUUCCACCCAAAUACAAAAACUAGGAUAUAAAUGUUUUUGACUUUUAGCUUUUAUGUUUGGAAGUGAAAAUUAUCAAAAUAUCAUUAUUUAUAUUAACUAUUUAAAUGGUAUAUAAAAAUUAGAUUAAUUUAUAUUUUAUAUAUCAUUAUAUUAAAUUAUUUAAAUAUUAUUUAUUAUUAUAUAUUUUAAUAAUUUAUAUAUCAUCUAUUUUACAAAUAAUUUAUAUUAAUUACUUAAAAAAUAUUUGGAACUUAUAUUUCAUGUAUCAUUAUAUUAAAUUAUUUAAAUAUCACAUAAUUUAACUAAUUUUUUACUUUCCACUAUCAUGUCUAAAGAAAAGGAUAUUUUAACUUUUAACAAGAAUUUUUUGUAGCAAUGGAGAACACCAAAAAUUAAUAAACACACUUUUUCAUAGUAAUUUUCAACCACACUUUUCAACCGCAACCCUAAUGAAGAAUUAAUCCUUACUAAAGUUACCGAAGCACUAGCUUCCACCGUAGCCAUUGAAAUGGCGCUCCAAUUGGGAUUGCAACACAUUAUUAUUAAAGGAGAUGCUCUCCAAGUGGUUUCGGAGUUGAAGGAAGACAAAGGAGACCUACCAACAACCGGACCUUGAUAGCAAAGAGUUGAAUACUUGCUAAACAGGUUCAGCAAUGUAGGUUUCAACACAGGAAGAGGCAUGCUAAUGAGGUGGCACAUCAUCUGACCAAACAGGGCCUUAAUUGUUUUCCAUCUUUUGUUCAUAUGUUUGUUUUGAAAAGGUAAAACAAAUCCUCACCUAUUGAUGUUAGAACGGUUGAAUUGCUAAAAGCAUGCUGCAUGCAUAACCAUGCUUUAGGUUAGGCUUCAAAUUAAAUAAAUUUUAAAUUAUUUUUAUUUAAAUUUAAUUAUAAAAAUAAAUUAAUAUCAAUAGAAAAUUAUAUAAAAUUUUAAGAUAUUUUAUUUUUCAAUAAUAAAACGAAUCAUUCACCAAACCUAAUUCUUCAAUUUCUUUUUAAUUAGAUCACAACUCAAGCCAAGCUAACCAAUAAACACCCAAAAUCUACCAUCAUUUUCAUUUUCAUUUUUUUUUCUUUUGUGACAAAGUAGACAGAAGAUUCGGUUUGGAUAAGCUCUACGUUAUUAAGUCAAAAGCUGAAGUAAUUUUAAUCAUAAAUUGUUUUAUUUGUCUAUAAUGCAAAACAAUGACCCAGUUAGUACAAUAAAGCUUUAACUUUGUGGAACAUUUCAGUCCAAAAAAAAAAAAAAAAAGAAUUGUGGAAAUUUUAGAGCAGUUGACCAUUUCUUCGGAAUUAGUUUUCUCACUUCUUGUCCAUAUUCCAUGUAUAUUAUUUCAAGAAAUUAGGUUUAGAAAUUUGCAUAAUUCAACCAUUGAACUAAUAAAUAUUAAACAAAAAUUGGGUGGCAAAAAAAAUCUUAUUAAAAUCAUAUACUAUUACUAAAAUUUAUGAUUAAAUUAGUGUCACGAGUUAACGGGACAUUAACAAAUUAUAUUAUUUGAGGGUAUUUUAAUCUUUUUAUUAAAAAAGAUGAUGUCUCAAAUUAACUCACAAUCUAAUCUAAUUUUUCAUUUUAAUAUUGUAAAUAUUUCAUGUUUUAUUAUUAAUUUGUUUCAAAUUAUACAUUUCAUUAUUUAUUUUAUGUUAUUUUUAAACACAUCUGUAUUCUAAGUACCUAAUUUUCACUUAUGGGUAUCAGAGGCGAAUCUAGGGAGGCUGAUAGGGGUCUCGGUCCCCUUAAAAUAGAAAAUUAUUAUUUAAGCCAUUUAGAAAAUUUUAAAAUUUUAAAUUAGUAAAUGUAAAAUUACACUUUGACCCCUCUAAAAUUAUAAAAAUUUGAUUUAAUCCUUUAAAAAUUAUAAAGAUAUAAACUAUUAAAAAUAAAAAUUUCAUUUCGGCCCUGCCUAAAAAAUUUUUUUGACUUCACCCCUAAAGUAUGAUAGAGUUUCUAGUAUGAAUAAUUUUCUUUGGAAGUGUUAAACAAACAAAGGAGUUAAGUAAACAGUAGUUUUCAUACAGAAAUAUUCGGCGUUGAUGUUUCCCUUUCGAAUAAUUAAAUUAAGACUUAGGAAAAGGGAAAACAAUGAAAAAGAAACUAAAAUUGAGCUUAAUUUAUGGAGUUGGGUUAAAAUUUUAAUAUUUAAAUAUAAAAAUUCUAAUAAUUUGAUCUGGUCCGUUUCAUCUAGCAGACUAAUAAUAAAUCUUAAAACAUAUUAUAUUUUAAUUUAAAUAAAACCAAAACUAAUACACUUGACCUACAUCUACAUGUGAUCUAUGCUUCAUUUAAAUUAGUCUAAAUUAGACGAGAUCUUGAUUAGGAGUCAUUUAUUUAUAUUAUAAGUCCCUGAAACAUGCAAAACUUACAUUUAAAAAUUAAUAUUUUUACGUUGUUGUUAGAAUAUAGGGUUUGUUAAUGUUUUCGUGUGAAGUCAGCUGUUGACAUUACCAAUCAGAUAAUGAAAAGGAAACAUGGCAAUUAUUCCAUCCUAAUUGUCACCAAAUUAAGUUAAUCCAAAAAUUACCAAACGUUUAGUACUUCAAUGGUAGAGUCAGCUCUUUCUUCUAGUCUAUCAAAAAAAGUCAAUUUAACCCCUAACUCUUGGAUGGAAAAGUUUUUGCUAUGAACUUGUUGAAGUGAAUCUCAUGUGAUAUAAACGCAUCGCAAUCUCCGUGUGUAACUAAAAAUAUUUGAGAGAUUGAAUAAUUUAAAGGGGAAAAAAAAAGAAUUUACUCCCUCCACUAACAAAUUACUCUUGCCAACGUAUGUAUGAAAGUAAACACCUUUAAUUAAUCAACAAAUGCUAAAGUUCGAGGUUUAGAAUUAAUUAAAUACCAAUAUAAAUAGUUAAUUACUUUUUUGAAAUAAGGAUAAAUCAGUUUGUGAGGUUUGAAUUUUUUGUAUCUUAACAAUUGUUCUGACUUUAGAGUUUGAAGGUUUUUUUUUUAUCCAAAUUAACCUAUGAACUUAGUAAUUUGUCUCUCAUUAAGGUUUAAAUUUUUUAUUUAUCUAAGUUAAUUCUUAAAAAUCUUGAAAUUCGAGAAUAAUUGUCAAGUUAAAAAAAUUUAGAUUUCAAUAUGAGAAUAAUCUACUAGUUCGUAACCUUAAUAUAAAAACAAUUGUUAAGUUGAAAACUUAAUUUAAAAACAAAUUCAAACCCUUCUUAAGUUUACGAUUUAACCCUUUGAAAUAUUGCGUUAACUAGUAAGAGUAAGAAUUAUUUUGUGUUGAUGAUUAAAUAAAUAUUUAAGUGGAGAUCAAGUUUUACCUCAUUUGUCAAUUGUCAGGUGAAGAAUAUAUACCCCUAAAGGCCUAUCAAAAACGGACCUAUCUCUAUCUAUAUAUCUUAACUAAUUUACUAUUCAUUUUUAAUGAAAAUCAAUAAAUCAAUGAAAACGUUAUAAAAAGAAAACUACGUGAAUAAAUUAUAUGUGUAAAAUUGAAAUAUUUCUUAUUUUAGUACAAUGGUAAGGAACAUUACAUUUUUAAGGAAAUGAUGUCAGGUUCAAACCUUAAAGAUAAUAUUCUUCUUCUUGAGAAGAACAAUCCCAAACUCCAAAAUGAACCCUUAUGAAUUAUAUAAAAAAAUUUUGAAAUAUUUCUAUAAAAUAUCAUUAAAGUUUUUUAUUUAAAAAAUGUUAUGGGUAUACUUUUACCUCUUGUAAAAAAGUCUUUCAUUUCUCAAUUCUUAUGGCAUAGUAAAUUUAUCAUUAAUUUUCAUCUUUAGGUAAAAAAAAUGGUUAUUAUUUGUGUAUUAAAUAAUUGUUAGGAUAAAUUUUAAAAUUGUAUAUGAAUUUUGGUUUAAUGUUAAUUAUAUACAUUAAUUUUAAUUUUAUGUAAUUUUAUAAAUGAAAUUUUAAUUUGAUCCAAUUCUAACAAAUUAUUAACACAGUUAUUGAUAUAACAUCAUUUUAUGUUUAUAUGCUAUAUACAGAAAUAAUUAUGUUUAUUCAAUAUAAAAAUAAAUUGAUGUAUUUAUUUCUUUAAACAUAUAUGAUUGAAUCAAAAUUAAAACAUCGUGUAUAUAUUUGAACCACAAUUAAAAUUUUACAUAUAAAAUUACAUAAAAUUACAAUUUAUAUACGUAAUAAACUAAAAUUCAUAUAUAAUUUUAAGAUUUAUGUCCACAAUUCUCUAAAGCUAAACGGUGAUGAUUACCAUGGAAAUUCAAUGUACUUAACUAAUUGGUUGAUAGGAACAGGCAUGAUGAAAUCCAUGAUGGGAAGAGAGAGAAUUCAAAAACUGGAAUGCCCCCAUUAAUCCAUGCAAAUAAACUUUUUCGGUAUUACAUCAUAAUUCAUUUAAUUUUAUCAUCAUCUCUAUGCCAUAACCAUGUUUAAAGUAAAAUACUUAUAUAAAUUGAGACAUUAAUAGUUUGUAUUAUAUAAAUUAUGACAUCCAUAUAUCCAUAUUAUAAUUUUUAUGAAAAAUUAGAGCUGGCAGAUAAAAAAUGGCUUACUGAUCAAUGAAAAAUAAACUUUAUUUCUUGUAAAUUGACUUAUCCUUUUAAAAAGUAUAAAUAUUUUUUUAAAAUUCAUUUAUGAGUAAUUUUAUUAUUAUAAAAAUUAAUUUUGCAAAGUCUAAUAUUAUUAUAUUAAUAAUUUUAUUUUAAAACUAUUUAAAAAUACUAAUAUCAAAUAUUAUAAUGUUGAAUCCUAGUAACAUACAUAUUAAAUUAUUUAAAUUAUGUAAUAUUGCAAUUUUAUUUUAAUACUAAAUUUUAACAACAAUAAUUUUAAAUUUUAGAUCAUAUUUUUAAUAUAUUAUUGAAAAAUAUUUAUAUUAAUAUUUUAAUAAUAAAUAUAUAUAUUAAAAUUUAUAAAUAUUUAAUAAUAAAUGUUUUAUAGUAUAAAAUAUGAAUAUUUUAAUUAUAUAGAUAUGAGCAUUUGUUUAAAUCAUGUUUAGUUUCAUUUAUCUCCCAACUAUAAUGUGUUAUUAUACACCGUCAUAUAUAUAAUAUAUGUAAUUUAAGCAUUGUUUAUUAUUAAAUUUAUAUAUGAUAUUAAUUAUUAUAAAAUAUUAUCUUAUUAUAAAAGAAAUUCUAAUUAUCAAAAAGAAAUGUUACUUUAAUAUUUUGUAACAAGUAUAUUUAUGUUGGGCUUGUUUCAAUAAUAACUUUAAAAUGAUUUUAGAAAAAAAAUUGUCAAAUAAUAAAAAAAUAUUUUAAGCAAAAUAAUUCAAACACAAAAAACUAUCAACUUUUCCAUAAAAUCAAUCCAAUUUUAAGAAAACAUUUUGUGAAAAUUGUUUUAGGUAAAACAAAAGGAACCUAUAUUUUAUAUAGUAUUUGAAAAGUUGUUGUAUCUAGAAUUAUUAUCUUAAAUAUUUUUUUAGGUCUAAUUUUAAAUUUCAUCCCUUUAUGAAAAUUGAGAAGUUAAAUUUUCUAUUUUACUUUAUCAGUCUGUGCUUGAUUGUUUAUUAAUUUGUCGUGUAUAAAUGGUUAAAUUAUUGAUUUUUGUUAAUUACUAGCAUGUAAAUUGUCAAACUACUUGUUCUCAAGGGAACGGUAAAGUUUAAUAGUAUUAUCAAUUUAGAACAAUUUUUGAGUUUUUUCUUUUAUUUUUCAUGUUCGAGUCCAUAAUUACUCCUUCUAAUAAUGUCGUCUUUAAAGUUUGAGUUCGAAUUCAAAUUCUCUUUUUGGAAGUACAAUAUGCCUUAUAAUUAUACCUAAUACUUUUGAUUUUUGUAAAAUAUAAGAAUCAAAAUUGUGUAGUAGGAUUAAUUUCUAGAUUUUUUAAAUUUAAAAUUUAUAAUAUUAUCAAUCGCAUCACACACAAAACCAAAGAACAAGAGAAUCUAAAAAACACGUGGACCAUUAAUUUAGGAAUGGACAUUAUAUUUUAUUAGUGGAAUAAACUCAUGCAAAAUGGUUGGAAAACACAUACAGGAUUAUAUAUACUAAUCAUUUUUAUUAUUAAGCAGAAUCGGAAAUAAAUAAAUACGAGCGAAACCACUGAAUAAUACAGCAUUGAAAUGCAAUUUGUCUACAUCAUUAUUGUUCUUCACUUCAAACGCGGAGACUAGUCUAGGCUCCCAAUCUUUUGCUUUAUCUCUCUAGAUAUAUCCUUUUCAAACUAUCUUUUUGUAGCUUUAUUUGCAUCACAGCAUUAUCUUUUCCUGCAAACAACUGUUCAAUGAUUAAAACAUGCAAAACAUUCUGAAAUAAUGCACCCUUACCAGAUGACAAAAAAAAAAAAAGAUUCUAAUGUAUCUUACCUUGGAUUGGAGCACGGUCAAAGCCGUGGCUUAGUAGUGGUGAGGAGGAGGGGGUGAAGCGUAGACAUAAUGGGGUGGUGGUGGUGGAGGAGACUUGUAUUUGUAAACUGGAGGAGGAGGUGGUGGAGACUUGUACUUGUAAGGGUGCUUGGGGGGUGAUGGUGGGGGUGGUGGGGGUGACUUGUACUUGUAGGGGUGCUUGGGUGGUGACGGUGGGGGUGGGGACUUGUACUUGUAAGGAUGCUUGGGGGGUGAUGGUGGUGGUGGUGGAGGUGACUUGUACUUGUAGGGGUGCUUGGGUGGUGACGGUGGGGGUGGGGACUUGUACUUGUAAGGGUGCUUGGGUGGUGACGGUGGUGGUGGUGGGGGGGACUUGUACUUGUAGGGAUGCUUUGGUGGGGAUGGUGGUGGUGGUGGUGGGGACUUGUACUUGUAGGGAUGCUUAGGUGGUGAUGGUGGUGGUGGUGGAGACUUGUAUUUGUAAGGAUGCUUUGGUGGUGAUGGUGGUGGAGGUGGUGGGGACUUGUACUUGUAAGGGUGCUUGGGUGGUGAUGGAGGUGGAGGUGGUGGAGACUUAUACUUGUAAACUGGAGGUGGUGGGGGUGGAGACUUGUACUUGUAAGGGUGCUUGGGUGGUGACGGAGGUGGAGGUGGUGGAGACUUAUACUUGUAAACUGGAGGUGGUGGGGGUGGAGACUUGUACUUGUAAGGGUGCUUGGGUGGUGAUGGUGGGGGUGGGGGUGGCGACUUGUACUUGUAGGGGUGUUUAGGUGGUGAUGGUGGUGGUGGUGGUGGUGGUGGGGACUUGUACUUGUAAGGAUGCUUGGGUGGUGAUGGUGGUGGAGGAGACUUGUACUUGUAAGGAUGCUUGGGUGGUGAUGGUGGUGGAGGUGGUGGAGACUUAUACUUGUAAACAGGAGUUGGUGGGGGAGGAGAUUUGUACUUGUAAGGUUUCUUGUGUGGUGGUGGUGGUGGAGGAGAGUAGAUCGGAGGAGGCGGUGGGGGAGACUUGUAAUGGUAGGGUGGUAGUGGGUUCUUCUUAGGAGGUGGUGGAGGAGAAGAAUAGGUGUAAUCUGCUGAGGUUUCAAAAGGCAAACUGAGAGAAAC
Molecule: long non-coding RNA, 56365 nt
Filed under: Gossypium barbadense (sea-island cotton)
Lineage: Eukaryota; Viridiplantae; Streptophyta; Magnoliopsida; Malvales; Malvaceae
Description: long non-coding RNA (GBAR_LNC014012)
Source: RNAcentral